CAAUUAGCUCAUUACUCAAUGACCUUGUUCGGUUAAGCUAUGCCCUUCACCUCAUGCUUGUGUUCCCUAUGUUGAACUUUUCUCUGAGGGCUAACAUCGAUGAGCUGCUUUUCUCCCAGAAACCUCUUCUGGCAAAAGACACCAAAAGAUUUUUGUCCAUCACCCUUGUGCUUCUAGUAUUCUCUUAUACAGCAGCCAUAACGAUCCCGGACAUAUGGUACUUCUUUCAGUUCCUAGGAUCGACUUCUGCUGUCUGUCUCGCUUUCAUUUUCCCAGGUGUCAUUGUUCUCAGGUACUUCAUUUUUCAUGCAAGACAUGUCCAUUCUCACCUAUGGCUUACCGAUGUUUCUGCUCAAUCUCAAUCUAAUUCCUUCCAUUGUUUCUAUUUCUAACUUGCAGGGAUGUUCAUGGCAUAUCAACAACAAGGGAUAGGAUCAUCGCAACAGUGAUGAUAGUUCUAGCUGUAGUCACUAGCACAAUAGCAAUUUCCACAAAUAUAUAUAGUUCGAUUAGAAACAAAUCCUAGUUUGUUUCCUGAUUUUUACUCUUUUUUGUAGCAAAGGUGAUAUAUAUAUAUAUAUUUUUUCCUUCUUUUUGUAUUCUUUUUCUUGAGAAUCCGAUGUUGUUUUGGCCGCAUGUAGAAUUAAUAUUUGAUAAAUGUAGUUUAUCAAACACAUUAAGGGAGUUCAAGAAUGCAAUUUCCUGCUAUAUAAUAGCAAAUGAUUCUGCUUUCUUCUUUUGCUCCUGAAUGAACCUAUAAAUGAUGCUUCAUGAAUUGAUGAUUUUUUUUUAGAAGAAAGUAUGCCUUUCAAUAGAUUAUCUGGAAAACAAAUACAUGAUGUCUGUUGGAAAUUCAUCCAACCAUAUUACAGUUUCAUUCCUUUGCAGGGCUGCCUUAGCCAAACCAUGAGCUAUGCCAUUACAUGUUCCGGGGAUAUGCUGAGCUUUGAAAUUCUAGAAAUUCUUCCUGAUUUCCAGAAUUUCAGAGAUCACCCAGAAAAUUUCAGACAUGUUACUUGUCCUCUUGUUAACUAGUUCAACUACUUCUAAUGAAUCAGAUUCAAAAAUCCCAGCAGUAACACCAACUCUUAGCGCUACUUGUAAGCCCCACUCCAUGGCUGCAGCUUCAGCCAUUGCCACGCUGCCAAAAACCUUGGAUGUUUUAACAGCAGCCGCUUUGCAAUUUCCCUCCUGGUCUCUGAUUACAACUCCUAAGCCUGCCAUUUGUUUAUCUGCAUCCACAGCAGCAUCCACAUUGAUUUUUAGCCAAUCCUUUGGGGGAGGGCACCACUGGUUCAGCUCCUCUGCCUUCUGACUCCCCACAAAGUUCAUCUCAGGUUGUUUAACUUUCCUAUAAGACUCUACAACAGAUUCUGCCCGCGCCACUGCUAUAAUUGGAUUUUCUUUUUUGCCCUCAAACAACCAUUUGUUUCUUGCAUUCCAAAUAACCCAUAGCAACGCAGCCACCAAAGCCCCUUCUAUAUUGGUUUGCUGUUGGGGCAAAAUUUGUAGUAAUCCAAUUAUGUCUUGAUUGUGCUCCCCUUGAGAUCCAACUGUUAAUUGAGCAGCUUUCCAUAUCUUCUUUGCCAUUUUGCACUCCAACAGACCAUGAGAAAUGGACUCCAUUUUGCAGCAGCAAAUUUGGCAAGUUGACUCCUGUAAAAUCCUUCUUUUCCAUAAUUUUUCCGCUGUUGGCAAUUCAUGAAUUGAUGAUAACUUCUCAAAGAAGAUAUUAAAUGAAUGAUUUCAUAUGAGACCUCACUGAAAAUUUCACUUGAAAUGAACAGUGUUAGACAUACAUAUGACACCAAUACAAGACAUUUUCAUUGUGGAUUUCUAGUAAUGCCGAAUGAAAGCAUAAUCAAUGCCCGGAUAAACAUAAACCCUGAAAUCUUCCUUACCUUUCCAAAAGCUCCAUGUGAAGUUAUGAUUCACCUGCUUAAUCAAAUUACCAAUUUAAUUUUGUACUUCUAUAUAGUAUAAACAUUCUUUAGUGGAGCAUGAAUGUUUUCAAGACUAUGUACCUCAGCAAUCACAGUUUCUCCUCUGUAAACUUUAUAGGACUACCGAGAAGAGUGACAAACCAACGAAUCUGAAAGUCGGAAAUAUAUAAUAUAUUCUAUUUGCUUUUGGCAAUCUUUUGCUGAAACAGAGUGUUAAUGCAGGAAUAAUGUAAAAAGUUAGAAACACUGCAAAAAAUUAAAUUCUCAAAUAUUUUUUUAUAGUGAACAAGAAGAUACAGGGCACUUUCUUGUUCUAUCGGAAAAAAUACAACUAAUGAACUCAGAUCUGCUUUCUGCCGAAACUGUGUUUCAAACUUAUAGUUCAAAGAGCUCAAAAUAAACAAUCUCAAGAAGGAAUAUCAUAUCUCAGGUCUUGGAACCUCUUCAGUAAGCUUGAUUUGUAUUUCUCGACCUCAGCAUCGUUUAACGAGUCUGGAGUAGACUUUAUAACUGAUAUCACCCCAGCAUGGUGUAAAGCUCCAGCAGCUUCAUCUGCAGCAUUAGAUGUAUAAUAUAAAAAGUCCAAAUAAUAGAAAGGAGGAUAUUUGACAACUUCACAUAUCCCUCUUAUUGUGAUCCAGAAUCAAAAGACAAGCAUUGAAAGAAUUCUACAAAUUAAGUGAUGAAAUCAACGAGUUAGUCUUACGACUCAAAAUGGUCCAACUCUCUGAUAACAUGAACAUGAGUUGGUCGUUUAAAGAAUCAAGAGGGAUCUAAAAAUUUCUUUGUUUUAUGUGUAACUGAAUUCUUAACAAUGGUAUCCACGAAAAAGUUCUUCAAUCUCAGCUGAUAUCCUGCUUUUUUUGGUUAGAAUAGUGAAGUUUCCAUAAUGAAUUGACAACAUGUCACAGUAAGAUGCAAACGCACACAAAUCUGUGGUAGCAUCAAAAUUUAGUUUCACCGAGCAAUGUUGCUCAGGUUAUAUGUCUAGACCAUUCGCAGGGUUAGAUCAAACCUAUGUGGCUAGAUUGGAAAAUUUUGCAAAGAAUCUUCUAAUGAGAACCUUCACAAUAAUAGCUGUGAAGCUAUCAUAGUUGAGAUGUAACUUUUAAAGGAGUUACAAUUUAAGCAUCAAAGGAUUGAUGCAUGAGAGCAUCUUAGUGAAAACAUGUCUAACCUGAGUGUGAAAGGGCAGCAAGAGCCUUCAGGGCCUCUUUCCGUGUGCGGUCAUCUUUAGCAGCUCCCAGCAUAUUUACAAGCUCUUGAGCUCCACCAAUCUCUACUAUUUUCAUCCUCCUUUCAUCUGCAAUCAAGAGGAAAGCAAAAUCUGUAUAUGAGCUGCAAUCCGUAAGCAAUCUUCAAUUGACACCUCUAGUUCAACAGUAACGUCAUUAGUUAGCCAUAAUCUCACACAGAUAGUCUCCAACUACAAAUAAAGUGAUCUAACUGGAGUUACCCAUACCAACUAGGAGCUCGUGAAAUGCUGCAAGAUAGGGCCUCAAAAUGACACAGGAUAUAGACAAGACAAGUCUUCACCUUAGACAACAACUGGAAUCCUCAAAUUAAGAGAAGCAACAAGAUCCUUAAAAGGCAAUAAAGAGUCCAAACUAGUCAACAGAUAUCCACGAGGACUAAGAACUUUGAGAGCUCAUGUUCAAAGAAUCAUUUCUUUCAGAAGUGGCCAUGAUCAGAAAGCAAAUUAGGAGUGAGGACCUCUGCCUGCCAAACUCUUUGCCUUACACAAUCACAAUACAUUGAAGCUAAAAAUUUACUAUCCAUGACUAUCCCCAAAAGAAAAAAGAAAAAAGAAAAGAAAAGGAAAAGAAAUUUACCAUCUAUUGCAAAACGGGUCAAUCUAGAUGCCCCCAUUCUUUUAAACAAAGGGUCCUUCACUUUCAAAAGUGACACAGACUGUUGCAUCAAGUUAUCCCCUGGAACAGCAGAGCAUAAGAAUUUCAUUAAGGAUCCCUACAACAUAAGCCAGUCAAAAAUUGGCUCAGAAAAACUAUCCACAUACCCAUGUAUGGGAAGAAUUGAUAACCAACAGCCGCUGCUGUACCGGCAAACAACAGUUUCAGUAGCCAUCCUAUUUUCCUUUCGGCAUCCUGUUCAAGGGCGAGGUCAUCUGGAAGUACACACACACAAAUCAAUGAUUUUCUCGCAAGAUCCUUCAAUCCAAAAUUUCAUCACUUCAAUUACUUUGCUACCAACAGGAUAAAAAUCACGAAAAUGAAUUAUAAGAAUCAUUUCUGUCUAUAAUUUCUUCAAGAAAUAUUUCUAAAUAAGGAAAGUUGCAAAACAUAUUAGCACAAACUGGCACUAUGAUGAAAAUUCAGAGCAUUACUCAAUCAAAUAUCAUAAAGAGGAAAACGAAAACAACCUUUUCCAUUGUAUGAUGAGAAAUUACGAGACUGCACAUUCCCAGCUCUUCUUCUACACACAUACUGCAUCACAUAUAAAAAUUUAAAAAAAAAAAACACAACAGUUAAAAACAAUCAUCAUAGUAUCUAAUUGAGUUUGAGACAAAGCAGCUAGUUACAGUGGUAAGCUGGGAUGCUAGCGUGCGCAUGAUGGAAAGACAACCUCUUUCCAAGCUCAUUUUGAAAUUUCAAUGGAGCUUCUUCGACCCUCGGGCUCGCUCCAGUGCCGGUCUCUCUUAGAGAAGUGAGAAACCCGAACGAAGUUACCAAAUUGCCCUUGGUCAUUGAGCCCAAUGCAAGCCCAUCAGACGUAGAACCCGAACCGGCCCAAGCCCAAAUAGAAUCAUAAUUCACACCAUAAACGAAGUGAAACCAAAACCCCUCUCUUUCUUUUUGCUUCGGCAUUCGCAACAGCGGCAGCGGCAGCGGCAGCGGAGGCGCAGACACCACAAACAGAGAAGCAAAGAAGAGAUGGGGAAGAUAGCAAAAGGGUCGAGGAAGGGAAAGAAAGCGUGGAGAGCUAACAUAAGCACAGAAGAUAUAGAAGAUUUCUUUGAGCAAUCAAAUAAAGACGCUCUCUCCGGUGGCUCUCUUUCUCAGCUUCCGAACGACUCCCUUUUCUACGUCGACAACUCCAAAGGUUAGACAAAGCUUCAAGCAUUUUUUGACUCGUCUAGGCAUAUUUUCGUUGAACUUUGAUUUUGGGUAAGCGGGGGGCUAUAACGGGGAAGCGGCAAACUCAAUCAGGCCAUAACAUAAAUGCUGUCAAUUAGAGGGGGCAAAACGUAAAAUUCACAUAGAGAUAGGAUAAAUUUCGGUUGAAUCGCCUUAUCUUUACUAGAAUUUAUAUCCGUUAGAUAGAUUGUUUUUGCUAGAGAGCAAGGUUUUUGAUUGUAAAAAAGUACAUUUGCACUGUUAGCGGAAGGUGCACAAUUUGUAUUAUGUGGUUUAAUUAUAGGUUAAUGGAAAAAGUUUUUUUUUUUUAAUUGUAACUGUUGGCUAUGCUUUUGAAGUUUUGUUGCGGUUUUAUUGAUUAUGCUUAUUUUUAUGACUUGAGUUUUUGGUGAUUGUAAUGGCAGAUCUUUCGGUGAAGCGGAAGAUUGAGAAACAUAGGGAAAAGGUACUCCGCUGUGACAGUGUGCUGCAGAAGAAUCCUUUUGUUCGGGCAUUGCCAUCGUCAAAGCCGAAGCAGAAGAAGAAAUCCAAGAAAGAGAAUAAGGAUGUUGUGAAAGAAAAGGAUGAAACUCGGGAUGGUCAGAAGGUGAGCAAUUAUUGUUGGAUCCUAGUGUCUUUUGAUAUUUGAAUUCAAACUAAUUUUGUGUUAUUUCGAUUUAUCAUCUCAGAGUGAUGGUGCCUCUGCUUCUGGCAUGGUUGACAUAUGGGCAAACGAAGGUGAAGGGGACAACCCGAAAAAGGUAAACUAUUAUUACUAACUAUUUGAAAUUUUGAAUGCAAUUAUAAUCACCUUUGGAUGCCUGUGUAGAAAGGAAUGACAUUCUGCGGCAUUAUUGUUCAUGUGAAUCAGCAUCUAUUCUACAAUGUGACAGAGUGGAUUCACUGCCUCUUUUCUUUUAUCUGGUUAUGACAUACCUUUACUGUGAACUCUAGCUGGUUCCAAAUUUUGGGAGCUGUAUAAAUCAACAUGACAGUGUUUGAAAUAACUUUUAAGAUGCUUUCUUUAAAGGUAUGAGAUGGGCCUUAGUUGAUAGUAGGGUCAUUGACAGGUCCCAAAACCUUCAGUUAUUCCAGCUGUGGAAGUUGAGGCUUCAGGAUGCUCAUACAAUCCCACGUUCGAAAGUCAUCAGGUAAGUUCUUAAUGUUUGAUUCUUGCAAAUGUUGCCUGCCUAUGUUGUUCAUCCAGAUGGCAACUAUUUUAGUUCCUUUGCAUCAAUCCAGGAGUCAUUGGCUCAAGCUGUGGCAGAAGAGAUGCAGAAAGUCUAUCGAAAGGAGUUGGGUCCUGAACCAGUUCCAAUUACCGUUCCAGGAGAAGUUAUUAACGAUGAAGAUGUGAGCUGCUUUUGCUCUGUGAAUUUAUCAUUUACCUAGAAUGCUAAGAUUUUGACCAUGCAACGUCCAAAAACUAGAGUUUAUAUUUGAUAUAUGUUUCAAAUGAGUCGAGGUCCUAAGGUCUUUGGUGUGCCUAUUUAUCUGAAGAGUUCAUCUCAAGUGAAAUAAGCACAACACUGAGGACCUUUUUUUAUAUUAGUUUACAGUAUGUGCCAUAAGCUUAACCUUAUCUUUUUAACCAUCAGAUGUACUUUCUUGAGGUGGAUAAUGGAAGCGAUGAUGAAAAUGUGGAGAAUUUGAGCGAAAAUCAAGAUACUGGAAAUGAAAACAGGUAAGCUUCUUAGAUUUGUUAUGGCUGUCACAAUAAUUAUUCUUUUUCUAUCUAUAAAUAAUGAGAAAUCCUUCUGUUUCAAUAUCAUGAUGCAGAUCUAGAAAAACAAAGAAGGUCACCCGGGUUGAAUUGAAUAAGAGAGAAAGACACAAGGAACUGCAUAGAAAAGAAGCAGAAGCAAAAAAGAGGGAGGAGCUUUCUAAACAAAUUGAUAGGUAAGAUGUUUUUCAUGCUUCUACUAACACAUAUUUGUUCGUAGCAUAUUCUUACAAUUGCUUCUUCUCCUAUUUGCAGCUUGCCGAAUAUUAUUGAAGAAAUAACGAAAGAGGAUGAGGAGAAGCAAAAAAGGCAUAUAAGGCGUGUUGUGGCUAUGCAAGAAAGACUAAAAGUUCGUCCACCACGCUUGGGAAAGCACAAGUAUGUUUUUUGCUUUUCCAUUUUUAAUAAUGAAAAUUCCACUUAGUUCAUAUAUUCCUUUUGCUGUUUCUGCUUAUUGAUUUUGGGCAUAAUUUUUUAUAGAAGCUAAUGUAAAAUAUCAUCUUUUUACACCAUAUUUCACACGAUAAAAGCCUCUGAAGUUCUGUAACUUCUCAAGAAAAAGUAAAAGUUUGGUGUAGGAUCAAGGAUAACAAUUGCUACAUCAAAGGAUGCUUCAAUAUUUGAGAAAAGUAUCAAAUGCUUUCUAGAGAAAAACAUGUUCAAUUGAAUUUUUCUUGAAAAUUGUGAUUGUAAUUUUCUAUAUAGCAGGCAUACUAAUUGGCAAUUUUGUUUCAGAUUUGAGCCGGCUCCUACACAAGUCCUUCUAUCUGAAGAAAUAACUGGGUCUCUCCGUAAGCUCAAGGUACGUUUCCUUUUCUUUUCUUGAUGUUUUCCAUUUAGUCAUCAAAUUUCUUCUUAUUGUUUGUUUUUGAGUGAACUGAUUGUCUUUUUUUGUUAAUCACAAUUAGGGUUGUUGCACCCUUGUAAAGGAUCGGUUUAAGAGUCUAGAGAAGAGAGGAUUGAUUGUCCCAGUCAAGGGCAAAAGGUUAGAUGAACUCUCCACAUUGCUUCUGCUUUUCCUUUCUCUUGUAGUGGCUAUAUUGCUAAUUAGGGUGACAGUAGAUUACUUGAAACAGAGAUUAUAAUGUUGAAUAUUGGGAGUUAAUUUUUGCUCAAACACUAACUCAAUUUUAUUAUUAUAAAACUGCAAUAUAUGUUUUUCUACAGAUGGAAUAUCUACUGGUGAAUUCCUUUCAUUUUGCAUAUGAUUUAUGUAUGAUUAUGCUCACGCCAUUGAAAUUUAUAUACUUGAACAGGAAAUAGAAAGCUGCUCUCCCUUGCAAAGAUUCUCUUACGUGGUUUAGCUUUUGAUGUGUGAGGUCAAGGUAUAUCUUACCAGAAGGUUUCGAACUCGAAUUGCUUACCAGAAAAUGAGAGAGAUGCAUCUAGGAAUGCAGAAAACUUACCAGUUCUUCAUGUUUUAUUCUUCUUUAAAUGUAUAAUUACUUCGGUUUUUGCAUUUGUUAACCCAGUUUUGAGUUAUUUAUGCCAUUGGCUUUCUAUAAUGUUUCCUUACGGUGGUUCUGUAUUCCUGUCCUUUGACCAAGAGUAGUCAAUAUAUGUGUAACACUUUCUUUCAUCAUAAUUACAAAAAAGUUUACCAAAUUAUAUAAAUGAACAUGAACUUUCCCAAAUAUUAUGUGACAUCAAAUCAUACAGUUAACUAUACUGGAAGUGUUUGUUCAACUCGCAAAAUCAUAGAUACCAGCCAUGCAACACUGACAUCAGUGACAUGUCGUUUAAGAUUUAAUGACAAACACGACUCGACGUUUACUUAGGCAUACAACAAACAGCAUAUCGUUCAAGGUCACUGUGAAUGUUUCCUCCGCAUUCGUAGAUACAAAACAAAACUAAGCAUUGUACCAAUGAAGCUAAUGGAUCCCCAGACUGUAAAAAUAAGCUGAUGGCAUUUCAGAACCCCCAUGCAUAUUUUGCGAUCAUGUUCACCUUCUCUUUGGUAACUGUGAGCGGCCAAGUAUCCGAAAAGAAGAAUUCCGAUGGGAACGUUAGAACCAACAAUCGUUUGGUGAACAAAUGAAACAGGUGAGCCAAUGAAUUCUGAUGUUGAAGCUGCAAUGAUAACAUUUAUGGCUCCUGUGCCAGUUCCUAUAAUACCUGUGCUUAUGUAAAGACAUGCGUUGCUGUUGCCGAUGAGCAAGAAGAAGGCUAAAGGCAUGGGCAUCAUUAUGAGCAUCACUGAUGUUGCUGCCUUGGAUUUGAUUGAUUUUUCCCUGAAACAAAUAAUUUUAUGUCAAAUUUAAACAUAUCAAGCUCUAACAUGUGUACUGAGAUUUAUAACGGCUAGUGAAUUCAUGAGACGGCAAUACGUUGCCUACUGGAUCAUUGCUUGUUUAUCAAGACUGACAUAAUUUUGGUAUAUAUUGAAGUUUACAGCAGGAGAUGAUCAAACCUUGUGUACCAUGAGAAGAUGACAGAAAAGAUCUUUCCAAAGAAUAAGCUAAAUGAUGAUGUUGCCAUUAGAAAUGAAGCUUCAUGGUAACCUUUCAAGUCGCAGAUUAUAUCCAAGUUGCUGAGAUACACCAUUCCCAGAGUAGUCCCACACAUAUUGAUCAAAUAAAACAACCAAAAAUCUACAGUCUUCACUAAAUUUUUUGUGUCCCCAUCUUCAGUAUUGCUCUCUUUUUUCCUUUUAUCAUCUUUAAUAGUGUUCUUGAGUCCCUGGCAAGAUCUGUCCGGCUCUGGCAUCACCUUUAUGCCCCAUAAUAUUUCUAAUAUAAGCUGGUUUGCAGUGACGAGCAAUGCCACUACAAAAGGUAGCAUUACCACCAGCACAAGACUCACCACUCUCAAUUUCGGUGACAAUUGUGUAUAAGGUUCAAUAAUUGUGGCAUAAACUCCUGUUGCAAUAGCAAUCACCAACAUAAAUGGAAACAUUUUUGCUUCCUCACAUUCAGUCACUUCUACACAAUUUAGCAUAGCCAAAACCAACCCAAUCAUAGCUGGGGCGACACAGCAUAAGAGGAAAAAAAUACUAGAAUUUGAAGAACCUAAUAAUUUCUUGCCUUUUAAUCCUUCAACAAAACAAGUGUAAAUCUUGCCACUAAAUCCACUAUAGCUUGAUGCUAGUGCCAUAAUAUUUUCAUGACUAUGCUUGAAGUUUCUAAUGGCGACUAACUCACAAUAAGUGUUGAUCCAACAAAUGCUAUUGCCUGCGAUAAAAUUUAACAAUAAUAUUUGCUGAUAUGAUAGAUUGAAAGCAAACUCAUCAUGAUAUAUUAUGCACAAGAAUUGUACACCAUAUCCAAUUGAUCCAAAUAUCAAACCAAUUAUCAAAAUCAUCCAUGCAGGAAGGUGCUCUGAUGCAAAACUUGAAAUGGAUUCCAAGAGCCUUGCACUUUCAGAAGCCACAAUCAAAUUAUUGAGUUGCACUCUAGAGAUACCAUAGUAUUUAUGUAUUAGCUUGAAGCAUGCUGCAUAAAUAAAGCGGGUGCCAUUCAUGGCUUGUAACAAAGCAAUGCCACCCAAAAUUAGCCAUGGCAAUAUAUAUUGCCUAUAGCCAAAUGGGCUGUCCAUGUUUGUUUAAUUAUUGCAUGUUAAUUAACAUAGGCGUUAGCUUUAUAGUGAGUUGCAGAAAGGCUGAAUUUUUUUGCAUGAAAAUGCUUAUUUAUUUAUUUAUUUAUUUAUUUUGUCCUCCGAUGUUAAAUUGGUUAUAAGUAGCUAUCAAUGGAUCAUCACUUACCAGACGACAAAACUUAUAUAUAUAUAUAUUGAGUUCGUUGGUUGUGGCAUUGUUGCUUGGAGAACUGCAAUUGUAAUUCCUGAUUCAGAAAGGUUUAGAAGUUCCCUUGCAGCCAAGUAUUAGUUACAGUUAGAUUUGCCAAAAAUUCAUUAGAUAUGACGGCGAGAGUUACUGAUUCAGAAUGGAACUUUUGGUACGGUUUAUUAAAUUUUUCGGUCUGAGUUAAAUAAUGUUGACUAGGAUAAAUCAAUUGCUUAGUUAUGAUGAAGAAAACAAGUUAUGUAAUUAUGUACAUAUAGAAAGUUGAGAUUAACAGCUUUAUCCCAAGUGAUAUGGUAUACAUUAGAGAUAGGCAAUGGUUCAAGAUGGUUUGUGAUUUAACAAUCCCACUUUCAUUCCAAUUACAUAAAUGUGGACGAAUCUUGCCCCUUUUUUUAUAUUUGGGACCAAGAUUAAUACUAAUUCUGAACCAUUCAAUAUCCUAUCCCCUCCCAAUUAUCUCAAAUGUUAUCACUAAAUCAGGGGCGAAGUGUGCAGGGGACUAAUCCGAGCUAAGUUUUUUUUUUUUUUUUUUAUCAAAAAAGAAAAGUGAAUUACAAAAUUACCAUUACUGAAAUUUAUUUUAAAAAUAAAAAUAAAAUAAAAAAUUUGAGUCAUCACAACUUAUCAAUCCAAUUUUCCCAAUUUGCAAAACUAAAAUACAAAUUUACUUCUUUUUUCAUAGAUUAUUCCGUUUAGUAUUUUGUAUUCCGUGUUUCAACAACAACAACAAGGAGAGUAUUUUCUAUAAUGAAAUUGAUUAAGACAACAAAUUGAAAUAAGAUAGAAAAUGAGUUUCUUUCCGAUUGUAUGAUUGUCUAUAUUAAAAGAGAAAGCAGACAAUUUCGACUCAAAUUUGAUAAUUUAUGAGUUUUCUUUUUUGAAGAAUCGUAGGACACAAUUUCAAUAAUGUUUCUUUCUAUUAUUAUUAUUAUUAUUUGGCUUAUGUAUCGUAUUUCCAUAAUUUGGUAUGUAUAGAACAAACAUUUUGAAAAGUAAAUUUAAUUUUGAAAAAAAUCCGGUCCACCCCAAAAGAUAUUCCCAGUUUCGCCACUGCACUAAAUUAACAUUUUUAUUUCCAUUAAUGUAUUUAAUAAGAUUUAAUUUAUAAUUUUCAUAUAUUAAAACAUUUAUGUUUCCAUUAACAACUCAAUUAACAUAAAAAGAAACAUCUCCAAUAAAAGAAUAUUAUACAUUGAUAAUUACAUAAUAUACAAUUAAUAAUGUUAAAAUAUAGUCAGCUAAAAUAAUUGGGAGAAUUGGGAUCCUAUGGAAUCUCAAGACAAAUCCCAAUCCGACCUCCAAUUAAUAAUUGAGAUCAAUUUCAAUCCAAAAUCUCAAUUACUUUUAAAAUUGAUCCUAAAAAUAUAAAUCAAUUCUGUCUUUAUCAAUAUGGAUCGCGAAACCCAAUUAGAAUUUGAGAUUUUUUUGCCAUCCGUAAUAUAUAUUCAUAUGAUACUCAUAAAACAACACUAAGCAAUAAGCACUAGCUGGGUGUGAAACAACAACAUAAAAAAAAUUAUUUGAGUUAUAUAAAAGUAAGGAACACGAAAAUGGGAAUUUUUUUCAUAUUUUAUAUUAUAAUUAUUAUAGUAAAACAAAUUAUUGGUACUAUUCUUAAUGAUCUAUGCUAAGAUAAUGAGCAUAUCUCAAAUAUUAGGUUGGAAGAGUGAGAUAUCUACUCCAUUGAAAAAAAAAAAUUUACGUAACGUACGACUGAUAUAGUAAAAUAUGGUAUUUAUUAAAAAGGUAGCAUGUGAAUGCGAAUAUCAUAAACAAUUAAUAGAGUUAAAUAUGUGGAGACUAAUUUGAUAAUUAUCCCAAAUUUUAUAUAUUUAACUCAAGAUUAAUUCCCAACCAAUGUUAAAUAUGCAAAAGAGACCAUGAUGAAAAAAUAAUAAUAAUUGCACUGUUUUAAUUUUUUUUUUGUUUUUCAAUAUUUGUUUUACCUUGUGUAAAUUUCUCACGUGGAUUUAACACAUGUUCAUUUUAUGUGAUGAAUUAUAUAAUUCAAUUUCUUAAGGAUUCAACCACAUAGACCCAAAAUCAUACCUAAUCAGAUAUUAUAUUUUGAAUUGCCAUUUAAUAAUGGUAAAGACCUAAACAAUAACAUUGUAUUUAAACUGUUAAAAAACUUUUGGCACCUGCUAAUGUAAUUUCCAACCACCCAAAGUAGUUACUCAAUACAAAAAAAAAGUGUAAAACAAACGGGAGACUCUUAAGUAACUACGAUUGAAUUUGCUGUAAGUUAGGUCUAUAUAAUUGAAAAAAUCUAGUGCUAACAUGGGUAAAUUACAUACAUAAAUUGUCAAAUUAUACACAAUCUCUUGCCAGGAAUCGGUUAGCCAGCAUUUUCGUUCGCCAUCUUCCAAGAUUUUGUGUUAUUUGGUGUCUUAUUAUGGCCUCAUAUACAAGGAAAAAAACCAACGACUUUUGUUAAAAAAUUGGAGAAAAGUUCCUUUCGAAAUUCUAAUAAAAAAAUCCCAAAAAACUUUCAAGUCCCAACCAAAUUAAAUAGAAAAUUGAAACAUCGAAUCAAAAACGCAACAAUCUCUGCCUUUCAAAUACUAUCCAAAAGUCAACAAAGAGACGCAGACGCCUAUACUGAAAUGGGCUCUGGACCUCUGGUGGAUAUAUUUUGCUUGUUAAGAACAAGGGACAAGAUUUGCAUUUGUGUCUUUUGCAUCUGCAUACAUGUAUGUCCGUAUUCUGCUCAAAUAUUAUUUUAAUUUCGUGAUGUCUCAAACUCAGUGGUGCGCACUCCUUUCCUCAAUUUCAGAAAGUCACUGUUAUUGCCAUGACUGUUUCUAGCUCUCUUGGAAGAAGAAGAUUGCUUGCCGAGAUAAAUAGCUUUAUUGCUGUUUUUAUCCUUGCUGGACAACUCAGUUUAACGGUAUGCUGACUGUAGAUUAGGUUUUGCAAUGUUUUUUUAUUUGAUGUUUUACUUGCUUCUUACUAUGACUUUCCUCUUGAAUACCUGGUUUUCUGGGUUUUUAGUGUUAAGUUUUUCAAUGUAGAGUCUAUGAAUUCAAUAAGUGUCACAUUUCUCUUCCUAUUAGCGUGUGGUUGGGAGUAAACACUAGUGUGGAAUGCUGCUUGAUAAGGUUGUUUCUAAGUCUGUGAAUAGACGAUGAUGGUCAAACUGUACAUAUUUAGUAGAAUCAUAUGUAUUAUAAUGAGUCAUGCCAAAGAAAAAUGUAUAAUCAUGAGAAUAUUUCAGAGGGAAAACUCCAUCACCCACAUUAGAUGCCAUUAGUGUAACUGUGCAAGUUUUUGAUAACUUACCGUAUUCCUAUUUUGGCUCUGGAGAUGCGUUAUUUAAAUUAUCUGAACUGGAUCUCUGGUUCCCCUCCUUGUUUCCUCUCCAUGCAACCCGUAACCUCUUGAAGUUGUACUGGAUCAUUCAAAUUGAAUUUCCUGCACUUGAGCUUCUGUGAACUGUCAUAGGUUUUCUUAGAAUUAUCAUGAUAUGGUGAUCCUAGCCUUUUUCUUUUUUUCCAUUUUCGCUUAUCUAAUUAUGUACAGGGGCACAUCCUUUCUGUUGGUGGGAUUACUGUAGCCAUAUGCUCUGCUCCAUUUAUUGCCUUCUCAAAUAUGAUUGCUGUUGCAAUUUGGCCAACUUGGGUGACUGUCGCUUUUUCAGAGACCAUACGAAAGGUUUGUCACGAGCUAUUGUUUUUUAUUUUCUUUUUAUUACCCUCCAAUACUGUUGGACUCGUCUAUUGGUUAUAAACUCAAUUUCCAGUAUUACAGUCUACAGAACCAUAUUCAGUGUGCUUAUGAAGUAAGACUGUUAAAGGAAGGUUAUUCUAAAAUUCUAAAGUUGAGAAAAUCUCACAGUUGGGAGACUUCCAUUCCUUGCAGGUGGUUACUUAUGUUGUAAACAGGCCUGGAAGAGAACUACUAUUUACUGUUGUUUCCCAAGAGGAAAAAUACAAAGCUAAGGUGUGCUAAUUUUCUCUAUUACUGAGUUUUAUUCUUAGAAAUGAGAGGCAAUGUGAUAUUCAUUUGGUACUUUAUGUACAGAAGCACAUGGUCAUCACGAAUGUUGAUCCUUUGACCCUUUUUUUGACCUCAUAAGAUAUUCAAAAUUAAGAUUUAUUUCAUAUUUCCUUGGGUUCUUGUGCUUAAAAUGUCAAUAAGCAUCAAAAUAUAGGUUUCUCUAAAGAUAUGCUGCUGCAGGCGUGCAUAGACAUACUUAUCCAGCGACUUGGAGAUGCAUCCGCAGCUGGAAUGUACAAACUACUUUUCAGCACUCUUCAUGGGAGAACAUCAACUGUGUCCCAAUGUGCCCUUCCUAUAUGUAUAAGCCAACUCCUUGGUGAUUUAUGUUAUCGAACCUCUCAGAAUUGUUACUACUCUAUUUUUGUUCUUGAACUCAUUGAAUUUCAUAAUGCAAAUCUUUUUCUUUGGUUUAAUUUUUUUCAACCAGUGUAAUCAAAGUCUGCAUUUUCUCAUUUGGUUUCAGGCCUGUUUAUUAUGGAUAGCUACAGCGUUCCAUUUAGGACGCCGCCAGGCACAAGUAGCAAAGCUUUUGGUGAACCCCACUUAUUGAAAAAAAAAAAAAAAAAAAAAAAAAUUCAGAUGAUUAUUUUUUUUGGUUUUUUUUGGGGUACUUUAGCCGUGAAAUAUAGGCUGCAAAUAUGUAUAUUUUCCAGUUCAACGGCGGUAAUAAUUUGUUUUUUUCCAUGUAUCUACCAUGACUUGAAUUAGUCCCCCAGCCACACCUACACCCAAAAUUAGGUGGAAUCCUCAUUUGGUUCUAUUUCCAUAACAAAAAGACUAAUUAGGCUUUAAUACAGAAUAAUACCCAAACAAGUAUUUGUAUAUACCAUCCCUAGACAAGUAUUCCAGAAGCCUUUUUUGUUUUUCCCCUCCCCUUCCAAUGGGAUAAAAACAAAAGCUUAUGUGUAUAUGCGAAAUCUUUGGAAAACUCAAGGAUGACAUGUCGAAUGUAUUCUAAAGAUGUCAAACUGGCAUGUGUUUCACGGAUAUCAGCAAUUGAAACUGAUUUCAUCGAAAUGUUGCUCGGAAUUGCAAUUGUUUCAUUGAUCAUACUGGAGUCUUCAUAUUUAUAGGUCUCUGGGCAUUGAGAGAGAGCAAUUUGAAUGGUUUAAUCAGCUUUCACCCACUUGGACGAGUCAUGUUAAUUGGUUUAGACUUCAUUAAAGUGCUAGAUAAUACUUUUUUAUUUAUCAGUGUUUUUUUCCUCACUCAAUUAAAAAACAUAUAUAUAUUGUAGUGAGAGCCUACACGAUAUAAUUUGAGUGUGUUGCUCUAGUUAUUACCACUAUUUGUAAAAUAUUUGCUUUAAUACAUAUCUUUAUCAUCUCUUAAUAUCAUUUUAUUUUAUCUUUUAAAAAAACAUGUGCUGUAUACGUGCCCUCAAUCUCUCAAACUGAAGAUGAGAUACAUCUUCCAAUUAAUGCUCGGGGUGCAGCAAUAGUUUCAAAUAAUAAAAUAUUUAUAUGCAAUUUGGGUUAAAGUUUGCAGGAAAACUGAUGAUAGUAUCGUGACGACUCCAAUGCUCUCACAAAAAUUGAUUAGCGGUCUAAAGCAAUUUCAAACAUAUACUUAAGUCCUAUUUGUGAUUAAUGAUAAAACCUACACUUAGGUCCUAUUUGUGAUUAACGUUAAAAUUCAACAAGUUGCUUAUUUGAUAAAUUUUAUAAAAAUAACUUAUUUCAUAAUUUACUCCAUUUUAACAGCAGCUUUUAAAGUAAUUGGCGGUUACUUUUUAUUAGUAAUAGCAGCUAGGUGUUGCUUUUUAUAAGCAACUUAUUAAAUAGGUCACCGCACUUUUUUAAAGUCCUUAUUAUAACCUUAAUAUUUUAACCAACACACACACACACGCACACUUUUUCAUGAACAUUAAUAUAUAAAUUAUUAGAUAUCAUAUUACCGCCACAACUACUUAUGUUCUAUCCAAUAUCAAUUUAAUGUGAAUUUAAUACAUAUUACUUUUUAUUUUCUUUAGGUUAUGUAUAAGUAUGAAUUUUUUUUCAUAUUUUAUGUAACAGAUUAUGAAGUUCAUUAAAUUUUAUUUUUUUGAGUUUUUUUCAUUUUAUGUAGUUUUACACAUUUUAAAAAAAGUAAGUGUAAAUGAUUUAUUAAACAUACUCUAAAAAUAAAAGGCAAUUUAAACUUAUGUUUAUUUUGGUAUUAUAUAAUAAAAUAGUACUUUUCAUAAUAAAAUUUAUUAUACGCCUAUACUCUAUCUUUUCAAAUUCAUAACAACUACAAUAAUACAGUUUACCAAAUACCAACCUGUAUUUUUAAUUAGCAGCUUAUUUCAUCUGCAUAGUAUCAACUAGGGGUGGGCAAAAAAAGCUGAUUAAUUAAAAAUCGAACCGAACCAAUCGGUUCGGUUUUUGUGCGAUUUUUUAAUCUUAAAAAACCGAAAUGGUAAUAUAAAAAAAAAAUAGUAAAACCAAUCGGUUCGGUUUUCGGUUUAAAAAAAAAACCGCAAAACCGAACCGAAAUCUCAAAUAAACCGAUUGUUUUGAAAGCUAAAGCUAAAACCUAAAAACCUAAAAUCUAAAUCUAAACUUCUGACUUCUGUCUUCUCGGUUCCCGACUUCCCGCUGGCCGCUGCUCGUCGUGACUUCUUCUGUUCUCGCUGGCCGUGCGGCAUCUCUCGCUGCAAUUUUUGCAAUCGUGCGGCAUCCCUCGCCGCAAUUUUUGCUUCUGCUAACCUUGUUACUGUCUCAACUGCACUCUUUUCCAGAGUUGAAAUCAUUCUGCUUUUUGGCCUCCGUUGUCUGCACCCAGACCUUUACAAAUUGACCUUAUUGAUUGAUUGCUUUUGCUUGGGAAAUCACAGAGAAGAUGCAACACAUCAGGUGGGAUGCACUUUCCUUCUUGGGCAUAUUAUCGAACACGUCCUAGGCAUGAGAAUUAUACCAUAAUUCCUCAACAAUAUCUCUCUUGAACCUGGCCUGCAAAUUCCAUAUAAUCAUUCCUUUGUCUAUUUUGUUUUGGGAUUGGGACAGAAAGGAAGAGGGUUUCCGCUGCUGCUGGCGGCCAUAUUAUUGAAGGGACCUACGCCGAAUCUGAACCGUUGAUUCGCUUGUUGGACUUGAUUAGGACCCACAAUCAUCAUCUAUCAUCCUUGUUCGAGUGUCGGCUUAAAAGCCAGGUACAGGUAGUUUAUAUGUUUAAUAAUUUGGGACCACCAUGUUUGUGCUGCCAUGUCAAAUUUUUCUGCAGUUCUCUUUUUCAUUUUUUUUAUAAAUAUAAUCUCGAUUUUUGUAGAUAGUUUAUGUAAUAAUUUAAUAUAUAUAUUCUUGGUUGGCCAAAAUGAAUACAAAUGCAAUUAAUGAAUGAAGAAGUUAUUCAUAAAGCAUCAUUUAUUUAUUUGUUCAUUGCGGUUAAGUUGUAUGCGAUCCAUUUGGUUGUUGGUUACAACCAGUUAAAUAUUUAUUUAAAAAUAAAAUAUAACAUGUUAAUUAAGAUGAAUGUUGUAAUAUGAAGUCUCUUUAGUUUUGUAAAAUGUGCGUGGUUAUUCAAUAAUUUUGUAAAAUGGUAGAUUUAUUAAUUUAAGCUUUUAAAUUUAAAAAAGCCCAAAAUAAGGCCAAUAGGCUCAUAAUCGAAAUAAUCAAACCGAAUCGAAUCGAAUUAUUUCAAUUAAUUGAGUAUUUGAUUAUUUCGGUAAUUUGAUUAAUCGCGAUUAUGAUUUUAAAAUAAUCGUAAUCGAACGAUUAUGAAAAAUUUAGUAAAAAAUCGAACCGAACCGAACCGCGUCCACCCCUUGUGUCAACCACCGUAAUCCCAAACUGUCCUUAAUUUAUCAUUUGUAAUUCCAAACAAAAUUAUUUUACCUCUUUUUCUAUUGUUUGAGGCGGAAAUUUCACCAAGCCAUGUGUCACAAGAAUGGGCUCCUUCUAUAAUUGUGAUUAAAUAGAAAUUCGGACUACAUGGUCUGCGAUCCGCCUUAUUCCGUUGUGCAGUUCGAAGAGUGAUGUCCAAAAGCCUAUUUAGGCGUUGAUAUGGCCCAAAUAUGCUCUUGUUGUGAUUUUGACCUUGGCUUGAGUAGUCACAGAUGCCAUGAUAUUGCACACUAGGAAAGUUCUUAGGAAAGACUGGAGGGGUUACAACGGUCCCACGUAAAACCCAGUCUCCUUAAGCUCUUAUUGCUUUGGUAACAAAACUUUUCUAGACAUGUGCAAUACUGCACGAUUGCUCCAUUCUUGGCCUUCGAAUACUCUUGUUGAGAACAGUGCCGUAUGCGUGAAUAGUAUCGUAAGCGUGAAUAGUAUCGUAUACGUGAACAGUGUCGUACUCGUGAAUGGUGUCAUAUGUCUAAACAAUAACUUUUCUUCAAAUAAUUACACUCAAUGGCUCUGGUAAUACGUUUAUGGAUUAACGAGCAAAGUAGAUGCACAACUGAAAUGAAAAAUGAGAAGUAAACAUUACACAAGAGACAUAAGGAUUUACGUGGUUCGACUUUUGAGCUUACGUCCACGAGAGAAGAUGAGAAGAAGUAUUUUACUAAUUGUAUAGAGUUACAAGUAUUGUUGUAUUUAACUCACAAUCUAAAACCCUAAUACACCCAAACUCUCAAAAUACUCUCUCAAUUGAUGCUUCUUCCACACUACACUUGAUGAUUUCUCCAUGCCUUAAUCCACUUAUUUAUAGUGCAAACCAAGCCUUAAAUGUCUAUUUUGGUUGGCUUUAAAAUAUUAAUUUAUUUUAUUUCAUCAAAAUUGGUGUGCAUUAAAAUAAUAGUUUAUUUAUAAAAAUCAACAUAUUAUUUUGUUUAAUCAAAAUUGGUGGGCUUUAAAAUAAUAAUUUAUUUAUAAAAAUCAAGUUAUUAUUUUAAUAAAAUAAUUUGUUUUGUCAAAAUUGGUUAGUGAUAUUUUAUUGCUAUCAUUUUACUGUAUUUAGACUGCAAUAACAGAUGUUUCUGCUGAAUAUCUCGAACAAUUAGUUUGACUUAACUCCACAUUUUCUUCACAAAUUUCUUAUUGGUCAAUAUCUGACACGAACUAUAAGAAGCAUGUAACAUAUCUCGUGCCUGAGCCUUAUGAGCUGAAUUGGGUUAUUGGGCCUAAUAUCGAUUUUCAGGUAGUAAUAUCUAUUAACCUCAAACGCAGACCAAAAUGCUAGUGCUUCUGUGACAUUGCCUUUUAACAUAUGUUUGUUUGCUGAUAUUUCAUUGAUGAUACUCCUUUGGGAUUAAUAUAGGAGUAAGCAUGCUGAAAUAGGUGUCUAUUACAUUGAAAUGGUGCAAUUUGAACGGCUAUAUCAUCAACAUUCGCCAAUUUGACAACUCAAUUGGUUUAGAGUCCAUUAAAAUUAAUACUAAACUAUGCGCUUCUUUUUGUUAUUUUUAUUAUCAUCAUCAUCAAUUUUACUUUUGACGCAAAAUUUUCGUUCUCUUUAUUAUUAGUUUGUUUGUCUUGGAGAUAAACAGAAAGACGUGUUAAAACUGCAAAUGGCAUUUUGGAGUUGAACAGACACGAGAUAAAUUCCAAGGUUCAGGCAACGGGGGAUGUACAGAGUCUACAGACAACGAACACGAAAGUGAAAUCGAUAUCAAGCAAAGUUCCAUCAGAUCGAGUAAAAUUGAAGCUAAAAUUCAUGGUUUGUUUAAGAUUUGACCUAAAAGAGAUGACUAUUUAAUUGAUACAACUGGAUACUGAUAAAGCGUUGAAUGCUAGUUUUCAAAUCUAUGAUUAGUAUUAGGCAGCGGCUACUUGGAUCAGCUCUAAGGUAGACCACCCACCACAGCCAUUGGAUGCAUGUACUUGAACUUGAAACAAUUGUGACUGAGUGCAUCCAAUGAGUGUGGUGGAUGGUCUACCUUGGAGCUAAUCCAAGGUAGCCAAACCCUUAGUAUUAUUAUAUACUGCUCCUUAUGCUUAUAUAAUCACAUAAGAUGUUGUGUCAAUUCAAAUACCAUUUUUGUAUCUUAAUAUUGUAAGAGUAGCAUUUUAUUUUUUAUCUAAAAUUUAAAUAGGUAUGUUUGAAUAUAUUUGUCUUUCGUUCUUUACAUUUGUUUAUUUUUAAGGGAAAAGUACACUUUCAAUCUUAAGGUUUGGGAAAAUAAUCAUGUAAAUUUUCAAAGUUUCAACAGGAGAUACUCGGACUCCUUGUUAACUACAAUACCUUUUGACUUUAUUAACUAAAAAUAAUAACUAAUGUUUUAUAAUAAAUAGAAAAUAGUAUCAAAAUAAAUGUAAUAAUAUAUACAUUUUAAAAUAAUUUCAAUAUUUACAAAAAUAUUUUAAUACCAUACAAUCUUAUGUUAUUAAACUAAAUUAGGUAGUAAAUAGAAACAUAGUAUUAAAAUAAAUAUAUAAAAGUUUAAGUUAUUUUAAUAUUAUAUAAAAUAAUUUUAAUAAUGUUAAUGCAUGAGAUACAUUUUAUUAAUUAUAAAAUCUAUUUAACAUGAAGAUUGAUUUAAAAUUUUUAUAAAAGUUAGUAUCCUAAUACAUCCAUAUGAUCUAUCUAAAUCUGGCAUGCCCAAGAUUUUUUAUCUUGCAGCCUCCAUAACACAAUAAAAAUAUCAUUUAGCAGAUACAUAUUUUUUUAAAAAAGGAAAAAAAUAGCAUUAUUCUCUCCUGCAGGCAUUUGCAAUUUAUUAAAUCUCAAAUUAUAUGCAAAAGUUUGCUAAUAUGCAUAUGACUAGAGUUGAUGACUCCAAAGUCUAAAUCAAAACAGACAUGGACAAUAAUGCUCAUCUUAUGAUGAGCAAUAUUGUGCUGUGGCGUUGACUAGUCAGGGUUCGGUUAGAAAAUGUGAUUAACUUCAACACUAGUUACAAAAUUGAGCUAAAGCUCAGUUGCUCGUCAAUAGAGUGACUGAAGUUGCCAACCAGCUAUGAAUACAUAAAUACAUAAAAAAAAUCUAAUAUUUUAAACUUUGAAAUUAGAAAUUGUAAUGCCAUCAAAUCAAUUUUUUUCCCCCAAAAGAAACCCUAACAGUUCGUGAGCUGCCGUCGUCGCUAACAGCCAGUCAGCCGCCACCGUUCGUCGUCACUGACCAACACUCAGCCGCAAGGUUUUUGCCUUUUCUACUUUUCUUUCUUUGUUUAUUUAUUUCGAAUUGCAUCUAGUUUCAUUGAUUUGGGUGUCUCUGUGCAUGUGUUUGUUUGUCAGUAAUGAGUCAUUGAGUUGCAUCUGAUUGUCAUUUUCCUAAUUUUAUGAUUGUCAUCUUCCUAAUUUUAUGAUUGUCAUCAUAAGCUGCAAUUUGUUUGUCACUAACAUUAGCUUUAUUAGUUUGCUUGUGCUAUCAACUGAAACUUUAAGGGUUUAAUUGGUUUAUAGCUUGAGUAGUCAUGAUUUUUUAGUCUGAUUCUAUUUUGCAUAUUAGGGGUGGGCAAAAAAAGUUGAUUCGAUUCGAUUUUUUUGCCGUUUUUUUACACCCAAAAAACCGAAUUAGUAAUAUAGAGAAAAUAAUAAAACCAGUCGGUUCAGUUUUCGAUUUUAAAAAAAAAAACCAAAAAACCGAACCGAGUAUCAAAUAAACCGAAUAAUAUAAUCCCUAAACCUAAAGUGAGUAAACUGAUCUUCAAUUCAGCCACUGAACUCGUGACCUUCAGCCCCUGAACUCGUCGCUGCUGCUGCUCGUGCUCGUCCCUGCUGCUGCUGCUGCUGCUGCCGCUGCUCGUGCUCGUCGCUGCUGCUGCCGCUGUCGCUGCUCGCUGCUGCUGCUGCUGCUGCCGCUGCUCGCUGCUCGCUGCUGCUCGUCGCCGAGUGAUCUCCACAAAGCUACAACUUGUGAGUUUGCUAUUACUUGGAUUUUAAUGGUUGGAUUUUAAUGGUUUCACAUGAUGAUGUGCUCAUGCCGAGAGUAAAAACAGUAAAACUUGAAACAGAGUUUAACGUUGUUGGACUUGUGAGUGUUUGCUGUUGGAGUAGAUUUAGAUGAGCCGAGUUGGUUAGCUUCAUAGCUUUUCAAUAAUUUGCUUUGAUUAUUGUGUAAUAUAUGAUAAUUUUGUGACGAUGGUGGUUUAUAUAUGUGAUUAAAAGCUAAACUAGUGGAUUUGUAAGUAUGCACUCGGCAAAGCAUUUGAGGAGGUAUUUUCAUCUUUUCGUUAUCACAUUCCUCUAAUCAAUUAGCGUUAAUAAAAAAAAUGAUUAAUAACGUAAAUGGAGGGACUUGUGCUCAAAUCUCUAAAUUAAACUCGUGAUCAUUAAACAUUAAUAUAAGCAAACUACAAGUAGUCUAUCUUGAUCAACGUUUUCAACUCUUCCAGGACUGUCCCACUUCCAAAAUUUUUUUUUCAAACAAUUAUUGAAAGCUCAUUUCUAUAUAAUAUUUUCACAAGAAAUUUGUUGCUUUCAUAAAUGGGCAACAUUAGACAACAGCAAUGCCAAAAUUAUUGAAAAAAAAGUUUUAGUCACGGCCCUCUGCUAAGUGUCUUUAAAUGGUUGGUUAAUCCCCAAGAUUUUUUAUUUGUUGCUGCUAUUGUGUUGAUUUGUUGCUGCUGUGGUGCUAAUUUUUUUGUGUAGAAUGGAAAAUUAUGAUGAGGAAGAAGUGCAAGAGGUGGAGGUUGAUGAUGGGAAAAAAAGAAAAAUACCUUUGAGAUCAAAUGUUUGAACUUGUUAUUUGAAUAUGUUAUGUGUUAUUGAACAUUGUUUGAGACAUAUUUUGAUUUUUUGUUUGUUAAUUUUUUAUGUUUGUUGUAGAUUUAUUAAUUUAAGGUUUUAAAUUUAAAAAAGUCCAAAAUAGGCCCAAUAGGCCCAUAAUCGAAAUAAUCAAACUGAACCGAAUCGAAUUAUUUCAAUUAAUCGAGUAUUUGAUUAUUUCGGUAAUUUGAUUAAUCGCGAUUAUGAUUUUAAAAUAAUCGUAAUUGAACGAUUAUGAAAAAUUUAGUAAAAAACCGAACCGAACCGAACCGCGCCCACCCCUAUUGCAUAUUGCCCGCUUGCUUUUCUUUUAGCUCUUUUAAAAUUAUUCUUUUAGGUAUGUGUUAAAUUUCCAGGGUUUAAUUGCUUGCUUGCAUAUUGCCCGCUUGCUUUUCUUUUCUUUUGGCAGCUACGUGAGGGAACCAAAAUGAUAGACAGGUGACACAAAACAAUUUAUAGAACCCCUUUUUUUUUUGGAGGUUUGGAACACAGAACAGUAAUCAGUAACAGAUAGACAGUAUAUUUCUUUUUCUUGGGUGCUGCUAAGUUACAUUAACUGUAACUUACAGCUCACCCAAUACUAGUUUUUCACAACCCAUGAAUUAUUUGAAUAGCAACCAUUAGAGGUGUAAAGAAACUAGUUUAGCACUUAAGAUUUGGGCUUCCAGAAUCAGAUAAAAGGAUAGUUACAAACAUGCCAAAUUGAGGUACUGACAAACUUGGGUAAUAAUAUUUUUUUGCAAAUCAACAUGUGAAUGUGAUGAUGACUAGACUUGACUGUGUCCAUAGCCAACGGCACAAUUAUAUGUGAAAGUGAAAGCAAAAAGUAGACACAAAAACUGAAAAUGGCUGGCAACCUGCAUCGAAGAGAAUCCCCACUUUAGGGGUUCCUAUUGUAACUAUAUGGUUAUUCCUUCUUUCUGUCCUGCUGCAUGUAUGUGGCUUGUAGUUGAACUGGUUAGAUACGUGGAUGCUUGGUUUCUGUAGGUAUUAUUUGUGUUGUGCUCUGUAUCACGAAUCGUUCCACCGAUAUGCUUAAGUACAUGUUGCGUGAGGAGUUUACGUUGUAUAUUAAUUGAGUCUUCUCUUGGCAUUGCAACCUAUAGAAUUGUUAAAUAUGUGUCCAUCUAUUUUAGUUUCUCAAGCUACCCUGAGUGUUGUGGGAACAAUUUGUUCAUUGUUAUCAUUGCUGUGGCUGAUGCCAAAUACGAUCCAUAAUUGAUGUUCACAUGUUGGGUUUCCAGGUGUCAUUGUCAGUGAGAAAAACAGAAAAAAAAAUGGUAAUUCUAGUUACAUUGCUUUAUGUCAAGUAGGUCCAUGAUUCAUCACAUUCAAAAAUUAUAGAAAACUAUUAUCAUAUGACAUUAACAAAACACUGGAAAUAUUAGGGUGGUAGUGUCAGGAAGCCAUUUUUCAUUUAUCUGCUUUGGUUUUAAAUCCAGUACAUGGUAAAAUCAGAUUUAAUGUUUUGUAUCUGCCUAAUUCUUAAUUGUUUGCUUCUAGUAAAAUGCUAGUUUUAUAUUUGUUUUUAAAUUUUGCUUCUUGGCUUGAUUGUAGGUUCAACAUUUAAUAUGUCAAGUUCUUUGCCCACACCACACUUAAUGGAUGAUGAAGUCAAUCAAAACAUGUCCAGUUCUGUUUCAAUCUCUUGAUGAGGAGCCAGAGAUUGAAACAAAUGUAGAGGCUGUAGAGGUAUAUAGUUUUAGUUUAUAUUAUCUUGUCAAGUAUUUAUUAAGUUGAAUUGUUAAAACAUGUUUUUAUUAAUUUUUUUUUUGUUUAUGUUGUUAUAGGUUUAUGAAGAAUCUUAGAAUGUGCAUCAAUGGUGAUGGCUACAAGUUUAUGUUGAAGACUUAAAAUUAUUUUGAUUUGUUGUAUAAAAUUUAAUCAAUUGUAAUUAUGUUGAAGGCUUAAACUUAUUAUGGAGGUUGUAAUUUUAUUUCUAAUCACUUGUAAUUUUAUUAUGGAGGUUGUAAUCACUUGUAAUUUUAUUUCUAAUAUGGAAUUUGAUUAUUUGUAAUUUUAUUUCUAAAUAUGGAGGUUGUUAGAAUUAUUAUUUAAAAAAAAAAAGAAAACUGAAAUAUUUAGAAAUUAUUAUUUAAAAAAUGGGGAUCGGGUCCCCGUUUUAAUCCCCGCUCAAUUCGGGGAUUUUCGGGGAUAUACCCAAACAAUCCCCCAUUACAAUUUUUCGGGUAUGGGGCGGGUUCGGGUGGGGAUCAUGUGCCAGUCUGUGUAUGAACAAGCAAACUCUUGUAGUGUAGUGCAGAAAAACAUGAGGUGGCAGAUCAACUUAUCAGCGUAUGGAUAUUGAACUAAUGAAAUAUGUACCCCAAGGUUACUCAUUUUCAAAGCUUUGCAAAUUCUAUAUGAGUCCAAUAAUAUCCUAACAGUAACAGGACCAAUAGUGUGCAUAACCCACAAUGGAAAGGGUCCAGGCUAAGAAUAUACUGAGAAAUUUGAAAAUAAUAAUAUGAAUUAACAAAUUAACUAGAUUGAUUAGAAAAUAAUACCUCAAAAAUUGAAGCCAUAAGAGGAGAGGCAUCCGGGAAUGGUGGUGGCAAUUCAGGGAAUGGUGGUGGCUGAUAGUGGACCCAGCAAAAUACCUGCGGGCGAGUCAGUAGAUUUAUAUUUUGGGGUGUGCUUGAUUUUGGUGGCCUUCCAGGAAGUCAUAGUCCUCAUAUAUUUAGAGCAGAUAUCAUGUUCAUCUGGUUCUGGCUUUGGUGCAAGCUGUUGCAGGCAAUUAAUUAACUGGGAAGCAAAUAAAUAUUACCAAUUGAAAAAACAAACAAACUAGAAAAAAAAAACACCCACAUCUGUCGUGAAAUAAAUAUACUGUGAAAUUUGAAAAUAAUUAUGAAAUUUGAAUUAACAAAAUAAAUUAGAAAACAAUACCCCGUUUGGAGGGCAAUCGUCGAUGAAGUCAAAGCCCUCAGGUAAAUUUUGCAAUGGCCCAAGCUGUUGCAGGCAAUUAAUUAAUGAGGAAGCAAAUAAAUUUAUUUAAAAAAAAACACUCAAGGACGUCUAUCGUGAAAUUUGAAUUAAUACCUCGUAUGGAGGGCAAUUGUCCUUGAAGACAUAGCCCUCAGGCAUAUAUAUCCCAUUGGCAUAAUCUGUUGCAGGCAAUUAAUUAAAGAGGAAGCUAAAAAAUAUAUUCAGAAAAAAGAACAUCAAGGAAGUCUGUCGUGAAACUUGAAUUAACGAAAUAGAUCAGAAAAUAAUACCUUUUAACACCUCCCACUUUGGCGGAUCAGAGAAGUAAACGUUGGUAGGUUUGGGACAUGAGCAGAGAGUUGGAUCGAAGACGUAGUCCUCAGGUGUAAAUGGCGGAAACUGUUGCAGGCAAUUAAUUAACGAGGAAGCAAAUAAAUAAUAUUACCAAUUCAAAAACAGAAAAAAAAAAAUCUGCUGUGAAAUUAGAAUUAACAAAUAGAUUAGAAAAUAACCUCUAUCUUGUUCAACUCGAAUGGCGGCGAACCAGGUCUGUCGUCCAUGGUUUGGCGUUGGUGUAUUUGACUUGGGAACCGGCGAAUUUAGGCCCUAGGGAUUCCAUAUUUUAUGCAUAUUUUUAUUUUUUUUUAACCCCAUACAUUAUUUGUAAUCCCUUUGAACACGAGAAAGUUUGGUUUUAUCACAUUUAGCCCCGUCUCUUGUUGCGUUGUUGGUUUAGUCGAUGGUCACCGCUUACCUGAAAUUUUUGUUAAUUGGUUGUAUUUACAGUUUUUCAAAUCUUUAUACUUUUUUUUUUUACCAUCUUAUUUCCGGUAAAGUUUAUUCAUCAAUUUUGGGUUUUUUAAGACUAAGAUGACCGUCAUUCAAAAAAAAAAAAAAAGACUAAGAUGACCGAAAAAAAUGAAAUUGAAAGUUAAUAAUUUUUUUUAGGUAACUUUUCAAGAACUUUAAUAAGUUUUCAAACAUGAAAAAAAAAUUAUUCAUUUAAUUAAAUAAUAGGAGAAUUUUUUUUCAUUUCCCUUGUGUUAUUAUGUAAAACACAAGAAUUUAGGAGCCUCCUGAAACGAAGGAUGUCAAUGAGUUGAUACAGUGCGGGACUGUUAAUAUCCCCACCCGAACCCAUAUAAGAGGAAAAAUUUCUUUCACUGUCCCUUAAUGUGGGGCUAAACAGACAUGGGCCAUGCGUGAUUUCGUGGCAGUUUGGGUGUGUCUCCCUCGUUUAAUUGGGUGUCGCAUUUGGGAUUUUAGGAACUCUAAAAAAGUUAGCACUUGUACACAUUUAUGUUUUUUUUUUUUCCUAAUCCAUGUGUUUUUGGUAAUCCAUUUUGACCUAGAAUAUUUGGUUUUGUGAUGUUCCCCUCUCUCAUCUUUAUUGAGUGCUAAUCUUAUCUUGGAUUCUAGACUUUAUUACUGUUCAAAAAGAUUAUUAUACCAUAUGAUACAAUAAUAUAAUGAUAUUUAACUAUUAUAUGAUAUAAUGUAAUAGUAUUAUGAUUGACAAAAUAGUCUAGGCUGGUCUGGUCUGUGUGUUAAAAUAAAGGAUAUAAACUAAAAAUAUAAAGUCUGCAUAGAUUGAGUCUGACUAAGGGCUUAAGAAAAAAAAUGUAGGCUAAUUUAUAAAUAAAAAGAUAAAUUAAAUUAAAAAAAAUAAAGUAUUAGAUUAGUUUUUUUAUAUUAGUAUUUGUCAUUUAUUAUGUUGUGCUGUAAAUAUUUUGUAUAUUGAACUAUUAUUUUAUUAAAUAUUGAAUAAUCAUCUUUAAUUUAAUUUUUUUAUUUGGUUGAAAAUUUAUUUCAACAUUAAUGAAAAACCCAAUUUAGACAGACUUUUAAAGAAUUUAGACUUGUUAAUAAUAAUAUGAUUUUAGGAGUGUGCUUGAAAAAAACUUAUUCCAAGCCUGCAAUUUGCCAACUCUAAAAUAGUAUUUUCGAAAUUUUACAAAGUCAAAGUUAGAUAAUUUCUACUCUUUAUUACGUGGUCAUCGUACAAUUUAUUACUUAAAAAUGGUGGAGCCAAUAUUUCACAAAAAAAUUGUUUCUGAUGGCUGUAAGCAUACAAAACGUUUUCACCUUUUUUUUAAUCAAUAUUAUUUUUAGAUUUACCCGAUGCAGUAAACAAUGCAUUAGUCCUCUUAAGUCUUUUCUAAUAUCAUUAAAGUUUUUUUAUUAUAUAUCUACAAUGACUGUGUUGCACUAAUCUCUUUACCAAAUAAAGAAUCUGGUGCAUAUCAUGCUAUAAUCCAUGUAAAUUAUCUGAGGCCUCCCCAGUAGUAAUGGGCAAAUCGAAGUCUAAAUUUGGCUCCACAGUAUAAUAUUUUGUUUUUCUCAAAAGAAAAUUGCAGCAAUGAUAAUUGUUCUGUACUUCAGAAACAAUGGUUUAAAUUAUAUAUUUGUAAUGGAUGGAACCAAAACUCAAGCAAAUCUAUAAUAUCGGCAAUUCAAACACAUUCUGAUUUGCCCAGAUGCCUGAUUUAAGGUUGGGAACGAUACGUAUCCCUAGAGUAAUAUUCAAUUUUGAAUUUUAGAUUCAAAUGAAAACACUCCAAUUCUUAGUUCAUAAUAAGAGAUUUUUAAAUUUCAAAAACUCUUAUCAUGAACUGGGGGCCUGUGUUGAUAUAGGAAUCAAUGAUACCCCCUCGAAGGGGGCUAGAGUCUCUAAAAGAGGACAUCAUAUCUCUCGAAGGCAGGGACGAAUACUAUUAGGUGGGAAGUCUAGAAACCUUGAGGUAGGAAAUAAGGAAAGCUCAAUUUAAACAUUGAAUGAGUCAAAAGCACCAAGCUGAGGAGGUUAGAAUAUCUAACGAUUAUCACCAGCAAAGAAUCACAGAAGCAUUGCAAAAAUAGGCAAGGAAGUUUGCUACGAAACCACUACACCCAUAACACCUUAGAAAAUAGGUUAAUAACACCCUAUGCGAAAAUCAUGCCUCAUUUUCUUCUCCAUAAAGGUACUUUUAAGGAAAAAUGAAAAAGAAAAUAUGUGGACACUCUACUGAACUAGAACUAUUGAUAUUCAACUUCAAAGGGAAAGAUACUGACUUAAUCAUCAGAGGAGGCACAGUGGCACACCAAAAACCACCAUUUCCAGCCCCAUUUUAUUCCACCCACCAAUACAAUACGAAUACAAUAGUGAAGGAGGUACUAACAGACUUGGCAAAAAUUUUAUUCCACCCACCAAUACAAUACCAAUCCACACGAUAAAUAUAGUUGUUAUUGGGCAACCCAUUAAGAGUUAGAUUUAGGUCAAAGUAUUAAAACCAUUUCACACAAUCCAUUACACUUAAUAUUAACAGUUUAAUAAAUUUAAUAGCUUAAAUUAAGUAAAUUGACUUUAAAUUUAAUAAUUGUAUAAAGUUAUCACAAAUGAUUCAUUUGGAUAAAAACAUUUUGUUUUCGGGAAAACACAGCAGUAUACUUAAGAUCUCAUAAAAGUAGUUUUAAUUACUAUAACUAUAUAUAUAUAGUAAAUCAUAACUUACACCAUGAACUUUCGCACGUUCGGAUGGUUCUUUAACACUGGAUAUCCUCUAACUUUAUCAAAUACUUCAUAUUUUAGGAUGGGAAAAGCCGACGCGCCACUUCUUUGGUUGGAAAAAUCCUUCUCUGCAAGCGAAAAUUGGGACAACGAUCUUGAGAAGAACGGUAGUGAGUCGUGGUGUUGCGUACGAAACGCAACAAGUCAUAACUCGUAACAGGUUUUCCUUCACCAGGAUAAUACUCAGUGUCUUUAAAGAAGUUUUUCAUAUCGGUCCCCAUUUUGCUCCACCAAUCAAGACAAGUUAACACACUAUCAGCAAACCCCCUGUUGAAUCCAGGUUCUUCAUUCAAUGUAUCAACGACCUCAAUUAAAAAUUGAAUUGACUUCUCAGGGGACCAGAAGAAAGGAAAAUUUUGACUACCUGCUGGUCUCGUCCUAGAAAUAUGUGCAUAAACUUAUUAGAAAAUAAAAAACUAUAAUUAAAAUUAAAAAACUAUUAAUUAUAAACUAAAAAGCCAAACCUUACCUUUCAGUUAACAAACUACAGACAACUUGUAUGUAGCCUUUUUUGAGGUCACCAGACAAAAGAUGAUAUCUAACUUAUCUGUUUGCUCUGAUUUCAUUCUCAAUGGCAUUUGAUGACUUGCCGAAGUAUGCAUGGUGACCACCAGAAAAGAGAAAAAACAAGAUUAAUCCAAGGCUGAAGCUAUAUGAUCUUGUUGGUGAUCGAUUAGUACCAGUCAGGAUUUCAACUGAUCGCCACCUUUCUGAACCUACAAUAAAGAACACAAAGUAAGCAUCAAAUUAUAUUAAGAAGUUACAAUUAACAAAUUCUAAUGGACAAAUUACUUACCCUGGCUGCUGGUCAGGUUCAAUUCAAUUUUAGCGUGCCACCUUCUUAGUCCACGUUUGAGUAGGACGUUACUUGGAGUUAAAUUUCCAUGAAAAUGACCGCACUCAUGAAGAAAAGCAACGCCUUUGAUUAUAUCCCUACGCAGAACAUUCAAAAUUUUAGUGCAUGUCAAGAUAUAUUCUUGGGGCAAAAAAAAAAAAAAUGGCAAAACGAGUAUACUUACAAGGCUAUAUUCGUAUAAUCCAGGCUUAACUCUCUGGCCUACUCAUGAGUCCUGAACACUUCUUUAAAGUUUUCGACUAUCAUUGUUGUUCUCGGUUCUGACUUAUAUGUAAAAAAUAGCUCCAGGCUGAUCAAGCACGGUUCCAUAAACAGUGUAAAUUUCGUCUUGUCAUUGUUCUCAAUUAAUCCAAAGAAGCUCACCACAAAGUCUGAACGGAUAUCUUUCAGAUAUUCAAGUCUUCCAUCCAGGAUAUCUUUCUUCUUAAUCGUCUUUACAACCACAUGUCGGCCAUAAUCAUCCAUACCCUUAUAUCCAGGCUUUUUCCUUCGCUGAAUCGUCUUUACAACCACAUGUCGGCCAUAAUCAUCCAUACCCUAUAUCCAGGCUUUUCCUUUGCUGAAACAAAAAUAUAGUUGCCAUCAAUCAGCAUUUACAAUUCCCUGACUGUCCUUUGCUGUUUUCUUCAGCUUCUCCUAAAUUUUAAAGGCAAUUUAAUAAACACAUUAAUGGCAAUCCAACUCAUUCUGAUUUCGAUUCUUACAGUUCAAGUAAACAACUAUUUUGAUUUCCAUUCUCUAUUUUCAUUUCAGCUCAUUCCCAUUCCAAUCAAUUCCGAUUCUAGUUUAGUAAAUGCAGCAUAAUACUAUAAGGAGUGUUAAUAUCAUGUAAUGAGGGCUACCAAACAUGCCCUUGAUGUAGGCAGGGACGAAUACUAUUAGGUGGGAAGUCUGGAAACCUUGAGGUAGGAAAUAUGGAAAGCUCAAUUUAAACAUUGAAUGAGUCAAAAGCACCAAGCUGAGGAGGCUAGAAUAUCUAACGAUUAUCACCAGCAAAGAAUCACAGAAGCAUUGCAAAAAUAGGCAAGGAAGUUGCUACGAAACCACUACACCCGUAACACCUUAGAAAAUAGGUUAAUAACACCCUCUGCGAAAAUCAUGCCUCAUUUUCUUCUCUAUAAAGGUACUUUAUGGAAAAUGAAAAAGAAAAUGUGGACACUCUACUGAACUAGAACUAUUGAGAUUCAACUCCGAAGGGAAAGAUACUGACUUAAUCAUCAGAGGAGGCACAGUGGCACACCAAAAACCACCAUUUCCAGCCCCAUUUUAUUCCACCCGCCAAUACAAUACCAAUCCACACGAUAAAUAUAGCUGUUAUUGGCAACCCAUUAAGAGUUAGAUUUAGGUCAAAGUAUUAAAACCAUUUCACACAAUCCAUUACACUUAAUAUUAACAGUUUAAUAAAUUUAAUAGCUUAAAUUAAGUAAAUUGACUUUAAAUUUAAUAAUUGUAUAAAGUUAUCACAAAUGAUUCAUUUGGAUAAAAACAUUUUGUUUUCGGGAAAACACAGCAGUAUACUUAAGAUCUCAUAAAAGUAGUCUUAAUUACUAUAUCUAUAUAUAUAUAGUAAAUCAUAACUUACACCAUGAACUUUCGCACGUUCGGAUGGUUCUUUAACACUGGAUAUCCUCUAACUUUAUCAAAUACUUCAUAUUUUAGGAUGGGAAAAGCCGACGCGCCACUUCUUUGGUUGGAAAAAUCCUUCUCUGCAAGCGAAAAUUGGGACAACGAUCUUGAGAAGAACGGUAGUGAGUCGUGGUGUUGCGUACGAAACGCAACAAGUCAUAACUCGUAACAGGUUGACCUUCACCAGGAUAAUACUCAGUGUCUUUAAAGAAGUUUUUCAUAUCGGUCCCCAUUUUGCUCCACCAAUCAAGACAAGUUAACACACUAUCAGCAAACCCCCUGUUGAAUCCAGGUUCUUCAUUCAAUGUAUCAACGACCUCAAUUAAAAAUUGAAUUGACUUCUCAGGGGACCAGAAUAAAGGAAAAUUUUGACUAUCUGCUGGUCUCGUCCUAGAAAUAUGUGCAUAAACUUAUUAGAAAAUAAAAAACUAUAAUUAAAAUUAAAAAACUAUUAAUUAUAAACUAAAAAGCCAAACCUUACCUUUCAGUUAACAAACUACAGACAACUUGUAUGUAGCCUUUUUUGAGGUCACCAGACAAAAGAUGAUAUCUAACUGAUCUGUUUGCUCUGAUUUCAUUCUCAAUGGCAUUUGAUGACUUGCCGAAGUAUGCAUGGUGACCACCAGAAAAGAGAAAAAACAAGAUUAAUCCAAGGCUGAAGCUAUAUGAUCUUGUUGGUGAUCGAUUAGUACCAGUCAGGAUUUCAACUGAUCGCCACCUUUCCGAACCUANNNNNNNNNNNNNNNNNNNNNNNNNNNNNNNNNNNNNNNNNNNNNNNNNNNNNNNNNNNNNNNNNNNNNNNNNNNNNNNNNNNNNNNNNNNNNNNNNNNNNNNNNNNNNNNNNNNNNNNNNNNNNNNNNNNNNNNNNNNNNNNNNNNNNNNNNNNNNNNNNNNNNNNNNNNNNNNNNNNNNNNNNNNNNNNNNNNNNNNNNNNNNNNNNNNNNNNNNNNNNNNNNNNNNNNNNNNNNNNNNNNNNNNNNNNNNNNNNNNNNNNNNNNNNNNNNNNNNNNNNNNNNNNNNNNNNNNNNNNNNNNNNNNNNNNNNNNNNNNNNNNNNNNNNNNNNNNNNNNNNNNNNNNNNNNNNNNNNNNNNNNNNNNNNNNNNNNNNNNNNNNNNNNNNNNNNNNNNNNNNNNNNNNNNNNNNNNNNNNNNNNNNNNNNNNNNNNNNNNNNNNNNNNNNNNNNNNNNNNNNNNNNNNNNNNNNNNNNNNNNNNNNNNNNNNNNNNNNNNNNCCAAUACAAUACCAAUCCACACGAUAAAUAUAGCUGUUAUUGGGCAACCCAUUAAGAGUUAGAUUUAGGUCAAAGUAUUAAAACCAUUUCACACAAUCCAUUACACUUAAUAUUAACAGUUUAAUAAAUUUAAUAGCUUAAAUUAAGUAAAUUGACUUUAAAUUUAAUAAUUGUAUAAAGUUAUCACAAAUGAUUCAUUUGGAUAAAAACAUUUUGUUUUCGGGAAAACACAGCAGUAUACUUAAGAUCUCAUAAAAGUAGUCUUAAUUACUAUAUCUAUAUAUAUAUAGUAAAUCAUAACUUACACCAUGAACUUUCGCACGUUCGGAUGGUUCUUUAACACUGGAUAUCCUCUAACUUUAUCAAAUACUUCAUAUUUUAGGAUGGGAAAAGCCGACGCGCCACUUCUUUGGUUGGAAAAAUCCUUCUCUGCAAGCGAAAAUUGGGACACGAUCUUGAGAAGAACGGUAGUGAGUCGUGGUGUUGCGUACGAAACGCAACAAGUCAUAACUCGUAACAGGUUGACCUUCACCAGGAUAAUACUCAGUGUCUUUAAAGAAGUUUUUCAUAUCGGUCCCCAUUUUGCUCCACCAAUCAAGACAAGUUAACACACUAUCAGCAAACCCCCUGUUGAAUCCAGGUUCUUCAUUCAAUGUAUCAACGACCUCAAUUAAAAAUUGAAUUGACUUCUCAGGGGACCAGAAUAAAGGAAAAUUUUGACUAUCUGCUGGUCUCGUCCUAGAAAUAUGUGCAUAAACUUAUUAGAAAAUAAAAAACUAUAAUUAAAAUUAAAAAACUAUUAAUUAUAAACUAAAAAGCCAAACCUUACCUUUCAGUUAACAAACUACAGACAACUUGUAUGUAGCCUUUUUUGAGGUCACCAGACAAAAGAUGAUAUCUAACUGAUCUGUUUGCUCUGAUUUCAUUCUCAAUGGCAUUUGAUGACUUGCCGAAGUAUGCAUGGUGACCACCAGAAAAGAGAAAAAACAAGAUUAAUCCAAGGCUGAAGCUAUAUGAUCUUGUUGGUGAUCGAUUAGUACCAGUCAGGAUUUCAACUGAUCGCCACCUUUCCGAACCUACAAUAAAGAACACAAAGUAAGCAUCAAAUUAUAUUAAGAAGUUACAAUUAACAAAUUCUAAUGGACAAAUUACUUACCCUGGCUGCUGGUCAGGUUCAAUUCAAUUUUAGCGUGCCACCUUCUUGGUCCACGUUUGAGUAGGACGUUACUUGGAGUUAAAUUUCUAUGAAAAUGACCGCACUCAUGAAGAAAAGCAACGCCUUUGAUUAUAUCCCUACGCAGAACAUUCAAAUUUAUGCAUGUCAAGAUAUAUUCUUGGGGCAAAAAAAAAAAAAAAAUGGCAAAACGAGUAUACUUACAAGGCUAUAUCGUAUAAUCCUGGCUUAACUCCCUGGCCUGCUCUCAUGAGUCCUGAACACUUCUUUAAAGUUUUCGGCUAUCAUUGUUGUUCUCGUUCUGACUUAUAUAUAAAAAAAGCUCCAGGCUGAUCAAGCACGGUUCCAUAAACAGUGCAAAAUUUCGUCUUGUCAUUGUUCUCAAUUAAUCCAAAGAAGCUCACCACAAAGUCUAAACCGAUAUCUUUCAUAUAUUCAAGUCUUCCAUCCAGGAUAUCUUUCUUCUUAAUCGUCUUUACAACCACAUGUCGGCCAUAAUCAUCCAUACCCCUAUAUCCAGGCUUUUCCUUCGCUGAAUCGUCUUUACAACCACAUGUCGGCCAUAAUCAUCCAUACCCCUAUAUCCAGGCUUUUCCUUUGCUGAAACAAAAAUAUAGUUGCCAUCAAUCAGCAAUUUACAAUUCCCUGACUGUCCUUUGCUGUUUUCUUCAGCUUCUCCUAAAUUUUAAAGGCAAUUUAAUAAACACAUUAAUGGCAAUCCAACUCAUUCUGAUUUCGAUUCUUACAGUUCAAGUAAACAACUUAUUUUGAUUUCCAUUCUCCUAUUUUCAUUUCAGCUCAUUCCCAUUCCAAUCAAUUCCGAUUCUAGUUUAGUAAAUGCAGCAUAAUACUAUAAGGAGUGUUAAUAUCAUGUAAUGAGGGCUACCAAACAUGCCCUUGAUGUAGGCAGGGACGAAUACUAUUAGGUGGGAAGUCUGGAAACCUUGAGGUAGGAAAUAUGGAAAGCUCAAUUUAAACAUUGAAUGAGUCAAAAGCACCAAGCUGAGGAGGCUAGAAUAUCUAACGAUUAUCACCAGCAAAGAAUCACAGAAGCAUUGCAAAAAUAGGCAAGGAAGUUUGCUACGAAACCACUACACCCGUAACACCUUAGAAAAUAGGUUAAUAACACCCUCUGCGAAAAAUCAUGCCUCAUUUUCUUCUCUAUAAAGGUACCUUUAUGGAAAAAUGAAAAAGAAAAUAUGUGGACACUCUACUGAACUAGAAACUAUUGAGAUUCAACUCCGAAGGGAAAGAUACUGACUUAAUCAUCAGAGGAGGCACAGUGGCACACCAAAAACCACCAUUUCCAGCCCCAUUUUAUUCCACCCGCCAAUACAAUACCAAUCCACACGAUAAAUAUAGUUGUUAUUGGGCAACCCAUUAAGAGUUAGAUUUAGGUCAAAGUAUUAAAACCAUUUCACACAAUCCAUUACACUUAAUAUUAACAGUUUAAUAAAUUUAAUAGCUUAAAUUAAGUAAAUUGACUUUAAAUUUAAUAAUUGUAUAAAGUUAUCACAAAUGAUUCAUUUGGAUAAAAACAUUUUGUUUUCGGGAAAACACAACAGUAUACUUAAGAUCUCAUAAAAGUAGUCCUUAAUUACUAUAUCUAUAUAUAUAUAGUAAAUCAUAACUUACACCAUGAACUUUCGCACGUUCGGAUGGUUCGUUAACACUGGAUAUCCUCUAACUUUAUCAAAUACUUCAUAUUUUAGGAUGGGAAAAGCCGACGCGCCACUUCUUUGGUUGGAAAAAUCCUUCUCUGCAAGCGAAAAUUGGGACAACGAUCUUGAGAAGAACGGUAGUGAGUCGUGGUGUUGCGUACGAAACACAACAAGUCAUAACUCGUAACAGGUUGACCUUCACCAGGAUAAUACUCAGUGUCUUUAAAGAAGUUUUUCAUAUCGGUCCCCAUUUUGCUCCACCAAUCAAGACAAGUUAACACACUAUCAGCAAACCCCCUGUUGAAUCCAGGUUCUUCAUUCAAUGUAUCAACGACCUCAAUUAAAAAUUGAAUUGACUUCUCAGGGGACCAGAAUAAAGGAAAAUUUUGACUAUCUGCUGGUGUCGUCCUAGAAAUAUGUGCAUAAACUUAUUAGAAAAUAAAAAACUAUAAUUAAAAUUAAAAAACUAUUAAUUAUAAACUAAAAAGCCAAACCUUACCUUUUAGUUAACAAACUACAGACAACUUGUAUGUAGCCUUUUUUGAGGUCACCAGACAAAAGAUGAUAUCUAACUUAUCUGUUUGCUCUGAUUUCAUUCUCAAUGGCAUUUGAUGACUUGCCGAAGUAUGCAUGGUGACCACCAGAAAAGAGAAAAAACAAGAUUAAUCCAAGGCUGAAGCUAUAUGAUCUUGUUGGUGAUCGAUUAGUACCAGUCAGGAUUUCAACUGAUCGCCACCUUUCUGAACCUACAAUAAAGAACACAAAGUAAGCAUCAAAUUAUAUUAAGAAGUUACAAUUAACAAAUUCUAAUGGACAAAUUACUUACCCUGGCUGCUGGUCAGGUUCAAUUCAAUUUUAGCGUGCCACCUUCUUAGUCCACGUUUGAGUAGGACGUUACUUGGAGUUAAAUUUCCAUGAAAAUGACCGCACUCAUGAAGAAAAGCAACGCCUUUGAUUAUAUCCCUACGCAGAACAUUCAAAUUUAGUGCAUGUCAAGAUAUAUUCUUGGGGCAAAAAAAAAAAAAUGGCAAAACGAGUAUACUUACAAGGCUAUAUUCGUAUAAUCCAGGCUUAACUCUCUGGCCUACUCAUGAGUCCUGAACACUUCUUUAAAGUUUUCGACUAUCAUUGUUGUUCUCGGUUCUGACUUAUAUGUAAAAAAUAGCUCCAGGCUGAUCAAGCACGGUUCCAUAAACAGUGUAAAUUUCGUCUUGUCAUUGUUCUCAAUUAAUCCAAAGAAGCUCACCACAAAGUCUGAACGGAUAUCUUUCAGAUAUUCAAGUCUUCCAUCCAGGAUAUCUUUCUUCUUAAUCGUCUUUACAACCACAUGUCGGCCAUAAUCAUCCAUACCCUUAUAUCCAGGCUUUUCCUUCGCUGAAUCGUCUUUACAACCACAUGUCGGCCAUAAUCAUCCAUACCCCUAUAUCCAGGCUUUUCCUUUGCUGAAACAAAAAUAUAGUUGCCAUCAAUCAGCAUUUACAAUUCCCUGACUGUCCUUUGCUGUUUUCUUCAGCUUCUCCUAAAUUUUAAAGGCAAUUUAAUAAACACAUUAAUGGCAAUCCAACUCAUUCUGAUUUCGAUUCUUACAGUUCAAGUAAACAACUUAUUUUGAUUUCCAUUCUCUAUUUUCAUUUCAGCUCAUUCCCAUUCCAAUCAAUUCCGAUUCUAGUUUAGUAAAUGCAGCAUAAUACUAUAAGGAGUGUUAAUAUCAUGUAAUGAGGGCUACCAAACAUGCCCUUGAUGUAGGCAGGGACGAAUACUAUUAGGUGGGAAGUCUGGAAACCUUGAGGUAGGAAAUAUGGAAAGCUCAAUUUAAACAUUGAAUGAGUCAAAAGCACCAAGCUGAGGAGGCUAGAAUAUCUAACGAUUAUCACCAGCAAAGAAUCACAGAAGCAUUGCAAAAAUAGGCAAGGAAGUUUGCUACGAAACCACUACACCCGUAACACCUUAGAAAAUAGGUUAAUAACACCCUCUGCGAAAAUCAUGCCUCAUUUUCUUCUCUAUAAAGGUACCUUUAAGGAAAAAUGAAAAAGAAAAUAUGUGGACACUCUACUGAACUAGAACUAUUGAGAUUCAACUCCGAAGGGAAAGAUACUGACUUAAUCAUCAGAGGAGGCACAGUGGCACACCAAAAACCACCAUUUCCAGCCCCAUUUUAUUCCACCCACCAAUACAAUACCAAUCCACACGAUAAAUAUAGCUGUUAUUGGGCAACCCAUUAAGAGUUAGAUUUAGGUCAAAGUAUUAAAACCAUUUCACACAAUCCAUUACACUUAAUAUUAACAGUUUAAUAAAUUUAAUAGCUUAAAUUAAGUAAAUUGACUUUAAAUUUAAUAAUUGUAUAAAGUUAUCACAAAUGAUUCAUUUGGAUAAAAACAUUUUGUUUUCGGGAAAACACAACAGUAUACUUAAGAUCUCAUAAAAGUAGUCUUAAUUACUAUAUCUAUAUAUAUAUAGUAAAUCAUAACUUACACCAUGAACUUUCGCACGUUCGGAUGGUUCGUUAACACUGGAUAUCCUCUAACUUUAUCAAAUACUUCAUAUUUUAGGAUGGGAAAAGCCGACGCGCCACUUCUUUGGUUGGAAAAAUCCUUCUCUGCAAGCGAAAAUUGGGACAACGAUCUUGAGAAGAACGGUAGUGAGUCGUGGUGUUGCGUACGAAACGCAACAAGUCAUAACUCGUAACAGGUUGACCUUCACCAGGAUAAUACUCAGUGUCUUUAAAGAAGUUUUUCAUAUCGGUCCCCAUUUUGCUCCACCAAUCAAGACAAGUUAACACACUAUCAGCAAACCCCCUGUUGAAUCCAGGUUCUUCAUUCAAUGUAUCAACGACCUCAAUUAAAAAUUGAAUUGACUUCUCAGGGGACCAGAAUAAAGGAAAAUUUUGACUAUCUGCUGGUGUCGUCCUAGAAAUAUGUGCAUAAACUUAUUAGAAAAUAAAAAACUAUAAUUAAAAUUAAAAAACUAUUAAUUAUAAACUAAAAAGCCAAACCUUACCUUUCAGUUAACAAACUACAGACAACUUGUGUGUAGCCUUUUUUGAGGUCACCAGACAAAAGAUGAUAUCUAGCUGAUCUGUUUGCUCUUAUUUCAUUCUCAAUGGCAUUUGAUGACUUGCCGAAGUAUGCAUGGUGACCACCAGAAAAGAGAAAAAACAAGAUUAAUCCAAGGCUGAAGCUAUAUGAUCUUGUUGGUGAUCGAUUAGUACCAGUCAGGAUUUCAACUGAUCGCCACCUUUCCGAACCUACAAUAAAGAACACAAAGUAAACAUCAAAUUAUAUUAAGAAGUUAAAAUUAACAAAUUCUAAUGGACAAAUUACUUACCCUGGCUGCUGGUCAGGUUCAAUUCAAUUUUAGCGUGCCACCUUCUUAGUCCACGUUUGAGUAGGACGUUACUUGGAGUUAAAUUUCCAUGAAAAUGACCGCACUCAUGAAGAAAAGCAACGCCUUUGAUUAUAUCCCUACGCAGAACAUUCAAAUUUAGUGCAUGUCAAGAUAUAUUCUUGGGGCAAAAAAAAAAAAAUGGCAAAACGAGUAUACUUACAAGGCUAUAUUCGUAUAAUCCAGGCUUAACUCUCUGGCCUACUCAUGAGUCCUGAACACUUCUUUAAAGUUUUCGACUAUCAUUGUUGUUCUCGGUUCUGACUUAUAUGUAAAAAAUAGCUCCAGGCUGAUCAAGCACGGUUCCAUAAACAGUGUAAAUUUCGUCUUGUCAUUGUUCUCAAUUAAUCCAAAGAAGCUCACCACAAAGUCUGAACGGAUAUCUUUCAGAUAUUCAAGUCUUCCAUCCAGGAUAUCUUUCUUCUUAAUCGUCUUUACAACCACAUGUCGGCCAUAAUCAUCCAUACCCUUAUAUCCAGGCUUUUCCUUCGCUGAAUCGUCUUUACAACCACAUGUCGGCCAUAAUCAUCCAUACCCCUAUAUCCAGGCUUUUCCUUUGCUGAAACAAAAAUAUAGUUGCCAUCAAUCAGCAUUUACAAUUCCCUGACUGUCCUUUGCUGUUUUCUUCAGCUUCUCCUAAAUUUUAAAGGCAAUUUAAUAAACACAUUAAUGGCAAUCCAACUCAUUCUGAUUUCGAUUCUUACAGUUCAAGUAAACAACUUAUUUUGAUUUCCAUUCUCUAUUUUCAUUUCAGCUCAUUCCCAUUCCAAUCAAUUCCGAUUCUAGUUUAGUAAAUGCAGCAUAAUACUAUAAGGAGUGUUAAUAUCAUGUAAUGAGGGCUACCAAACAUGCCCUUGAUGUAGGCAGGGACGAAUACUAUUAGGUGGGAAGUCUGGAAACCUUGAGGUAGGAAAUAUGGAAAGCUCAAUUUAAACAUUGAAUGAGUCAAAAGCACCAAGCUGAGGAGGCUAGAAUAUCUAACGAUUAUCACCAGCAAAGAAUCACAGAAGCAUUGCAAAAAUAGGCAAGGAAGUUUGCUACGAAACCACUACACCCGUAACACCUUAGAAAAUAGGUUAAUAACACCCUCUGCGAAAAUCAUGCCUCAUUUUCUUCUCUAUAAAGGUACCUUUAAGGAAAAAUGAAAAAGAAAAUAUGUGGACACUCUACUGAACUAGAACUAUUGAGAUUCAACUCCGAAGGGAAAGAUACUGACUUAAUCAUCAGAGGAGGCACAGUGGCACACCAAAAACCACCAUUUCCAGCCCCAUUUUAUUCCACCCACCAAUACAAUACCAAUCCACACGAUAAAUAUAGCUGUUAUUGGGCAACCCAUUAAGAGUUAGAUUUAGGUCAAAGUAUUAAAACCAUUUCACACAAUCCAUUACACUUAAUAUUAACAGUUUAAUAAAUUUAAUAGCUUAAAUUAAGUAAAUUGACUUUAAAUUUAAUAAUUGUAUAAAGUUAUCACAAAUGAUUCAUUUGGAUAAAAACAUUUUGUUUUCGGGAAAACACAACAGUAUACUUAAGAUCUCAUAAAAGUAGUCUUAAUUACUAUAUCUAUAUAUAUAUAGUAAAUCAUAACUUACACCAUGAACUUUCGCACGUUCGGAUGGUUCGUUAACACUGGAUAUCCUCUAACUUUAUCAAAUACUUCAUAUUUUAGGAUGGGAAAAGCCGACGCGCCACUUCUUUGGUUGGAAAAAUCCUUCUCUGCAAGCGAAAAUUGGGACAACGAUCUUGAGAAGAACGGUAGUGAGUCGUGGUGUUGCGUACGAAACGCAACAAGUCAUAACUCGUAACAGGUUGACCUUCACCAGGAUAAUACUCAUUGUCUUUAAAGAAGUUUUUCAUAUCGGUCCCCAUUUUGCUCCACCAAUCAAGACAAGUUAACACACUAUCAGCAAACCCCCUGUUGAAUCCAGGUUCUUCAUUCAAUGUAUCAACGACCUCAAUUAAAAAUUGAAUUGACUUCUCAGGGGACCAGAAUAAAGGAAAAUUUUGACUAUCUGCUGGUGUCGUCCUAGAAAUAUGUGCAUAAACUUAUUAGAAAAUAAAAAACUAUAAUUAAAAUUAAAAAAACUAUUAAUUAUAAACUAAAAAGCCAAACCUUACCUUUCAGUUAACAAACUACAGACAACUUGUGUGUAGCCUUUUUUGAGGUCACCAGACAAAAGAUGAUAUCUAGCUGAUCUGUUUGCUCUUAUUUCAUUCUCAAUGGCAUUUGAUGACUUGCCGAAGUAUGCAUGGUGACCACCAGAAAAGAGAAAAAAACAAGAUUAAUCCAAGGCUGAAGCUAUAUGAUCUUGUUGGUGAUCGAUUAGUACCAGUCAGGAUUUCAACUGAUCGCCACCUUUCCGAACCUACAAUAAAGAACACAAAGUAAACAUCAAAUUAUAUUAAGAAGUUAAAAUUAACAAAUUCUAAUGGACAAAUUACUUACCCUGGCUGCUGGUCAGGUUCAAUUCAAUUUUAGCGUGCCACCUUCUUAGUCCACGUUUGAGUAGGACGUUACUUGGAGUUAAAUUUCCAUGAAAAUGACCGCACUCAUGAAGAAAAGCAACGCCUUUGAUUAUAUCCCUACGCAGAACAUUCAAAUUUAGUGCAUGUCAAGAUAUAUUCUUGGGGCAAAAAAAAAAAAAUGGCAAAACGAGUAUACUUACAAGGCUAUAUUCGUAUAAUCCAGGCUUAACUCUCUGGCCUACUCAUGAGUCCUGAACACUUCUUUAAAGUUUUCGGCUAUCAUUGUUGUUCUCGGUUUUGACUUAUAUAUAAAAAAUAGCUCCAGGCUGAUCAAGCACGGUUCCAUAAACAGUGUAAAUUUCGUCUUGUCAUUGUUCUCAAUUAAUCCAAAGAAGCUCACCACAAAGUCUGAACGGAUAUCUUUCAGAUAUUCAAGUCUUCCAUCCAGGAUAUCUUUCUUCUUAAUCGUCUUUACAACCACAUGUCGGCCAUAAUCAUCCAUACCCUUAUAUCCAGGCUUUUCCUUCGCUGAAUCGUCUUUACAACCACAUGUCGGCCAUAAUCAUCCAUACCCCUAUAUCCAGGCUUUUCCUUUGCUGAAACAAAAAUAUAGUUGCCAUCAAUCAGCAUUUACAAUUCCCUGACUGUCCUUUGCUGUUUUCUUCAGCUUCUCCUAAAUUUUAAAGGCAAUUUAAUAAACACAUUAAUGGCAAUCCAACUCAUUCUGAUUUCGAUUCUUACAGUUCAAGUAAACAACUUAUUUUGAUUUCCAUUCUCUAUUUUCAUUUCAGCUCAUUCCCAUUCCAAUCAAUUCCGAUUCUAGUUUAGUAAAUGCAGCAUAAUACUAUAAGGAGUGUUAAUAUCAUGUAAUGAGGGCUACCAAACAUGCCCUUGAUGUAGGCAGGGACAAAUACUAUUAGGUGGGAAGUCUGGAAACCUUGAGGUAGGAAAUAUGGAAAGCUCAAUUUAAACAUUGAAUGAGUCAAAAGCACCAAGCUGAGGAGGCUAGAAUAUCUAACGAUUAUCACCAGCAAAGAAUCACAGAAGCAUUGCAAAAAUAGGCAAGGAAGUUUGCUACGAAACCACUACACCCGUAACACCUUAGAAAAUAGGUUAAUAACACCCUCUGCGAAAAUCAUGCCUCAUUUUCUUCUCUAUAAAGGUACCUUUAUGGAAAAAUGAAAAAGAAAAUAUGUGGACACUCUACUGAACUAGAACUAUUGAGAUUCAACUCCGAAGGGAAAGAUACUGACUUAAUCAUCAGAGGAGGCACAGUGGCACACCAAAAACCACCAUUUCCAGCCCCAUUUUAUUCCACCCGCCAAUACAAUACCAAUCCACACGAUAAAUAUAGUUGUUAUUGGGCAACCCAUUAAGAGUUAGAUUUAGGUCAAAGUAUUAAAACCAUUUCACACAAUCCAUUACACUUAAUAUUAACAGUUUAAUAAAUUUAAUAGCUUAAAUUAAGUAAAUUGACUUUAAAUUUAAUAAUUGUAUAAAGUUAUCACAAAUGAUUCAUUUGGAUAAAAACAUUUUGUUUUCGGGAAAACACAACAGUAUACUUAAGAUCUCAUAAAAGUAGUCUUAAUUACUAUAUCUAUAUAUAUAUAGUAAAUCAUAACUUACACCAUGAACUUUCGCACGUUCGGAUGGUUCGUUAACACUGGAUAUCCUCUAACUUUAUCAAAUACUUCAUAUUUUAGGAUGGGAAAAGCCGACGCGCCACUUCUUUGGUUGGAAAAAUCCUUCUCUGCAAGCGAAAAUUGGGACAACGAUCUUGAGAAGAACGGUAGUGAGUCGUGGUGUUGCGUACGAAACGCAACAAGUCAUAACUCGUAACAGGUUGACCUUCACCAGGAUAAUACUCAGUGUCUUUAAAGAAGUUUUUCAUAUCGGUCCCCAUUUUGCUCCACCAAUCAAGACAAGUUAACACACUAUCAGCAAACCCCCUGUUGAAUCCAGGUUCUUCAUUCAAUGUAUCAACGACCUCAAUUAAAAAUUGAAUUGACUUCUCAGGGGACCAGAAUAAAGGAAAAUUUUGACUAUCUGCUGGUGUCGUCCUAGAAAUAUGUGCAUAAACUUAUUAGAAAAUAAAAAACUAUAAUUAAAAUUAAAAAACUAUUAAUUAUAAACUAAAAAGCCAAACCUUACCUUUCAGUUAACAAACUACAGACAACUUGUGUGUAGCCUUUUUUGAGGUCACCAGACAAAAGAUGAUAUCUAGCUGAUCUGUUUGCUCUUAUUUCAUUCUCAAUGGCAUUUGAUGACUUGCCGAAGUAUGCAUGGUGACCACCAGAAAAGAGAAAAAACAAGAUUAAUCCAAGGCUGAAGCUAUAUGAUCUUGUUGGUGAUCGAUUAGUACCAGUCAGGAUUUCAACUGAUCGCCACCUUUCCGAACCUACAAUAAAGAACACAAAGUAAACAUCAAAUUAUAUUAAGAAGUUAAAAUUAACAAAUUCUAAUGGACAAAUUACUUACCCUGGCUGCUGGUCAGGUUCAAUUCAAUUUUAGCGUGCCACCUUCUUGGUCCACGUUUGAGUAGGACGUUACUUGGAGUUAAAUUUCCAUGAAAAUGACCGCACUCAUGAAGAAAAGCAACGCCUUUGAUUAUAUCCCUACGCAGAACAUUCAAAUUUAGUGCAUGUCAAGAUAUAUUCUUGGGGCAAAAAAAAAAAUGGCAAAACGAGUAUACUUACUAGGCUAUAUCCAUACACACAACUCAAUUAAAUCCCCCAUUACACUUUUAUUACACAAAAACUAAAAAUAUCUUAUGUUAGAGGAAUUUCAUCAAACACCUAAUAUCCGAUAUUUAUAACUCAUCAUUUUAACUAAAUAUUUUUUUUCAUUAUACCACUCCAACAACCUAUAAUCAUCUAGAAUCCCAAUCAAAUGCACUCAAAUUAUUAUAAAAUGUUGAAGUUUGCUCACCUAGGGUUUGAACUCUUUUCAAUUUCUUGGAUUCUUUAUUUUUAGUUCAUCGUCGUCGUGUUCAUCAUUGUUGCUAUCAUCGUUGCCGUCGCUGGUUGCCAGUUGCUGUUCGUCGUUCAAGAGCACAAAUUUGUAGUGUGGCUAGAGAGAGUUUAGAGUAUGGGAAUGUGAAGGGUAAUUUAAGGUAAUUUUUUAUUUAGUUAUAAUAGAAAAAAAUUAGAUGAGUUAAAUUAAAAAAUUAAAAAAAUUUUAAGAUUAUUUUUGUAAAUUUCUCCUCUCAGCUCUCUUAUGUCACCUUCCGAAAAAUUCUAGAAUACAUUUGUUGUACUAUAUCACCCAUAUAACAAACAAAUAAUAUCAUAACAUGUGUGUAUUUAUUUUGUAAACUAUCAUUUAAGUGGUGGUUGUAUUAAACUCAAUUACACAUGUUAUACAUGCAUUAAUUGGUUGUAAUACAACAUAUGUAUUUUAAGAUUAUUCGUGACCUUCCCCGUAAUUGUACUAUUCCAAUAAUAAAUGCCUAAAGAGUGCUUUUACAUAAAAGCCCUCUAUUUCCAACUAAUCACCUGUUCGAACUUUGAAUCGCCAAGCUAAUGCCUCCGUGGCCACCUGAAAAGCAUAACAUUUCCUGCUUUUGCGUCCAAAUACAUGCUAGUUUUCAACUUUCAAGUCCAUGUACAUUCGUCAAUAAUUCCACUACAGUCCGAGCUGUCUCAUUGCCAUGAAUAAACAGAGGCCAAUGAAUCGUUUUUUGUCUAAAUCCAAUCUCGCUCUUCAUUUAUCUUAGCUUAAAACUAAUCAUGUACACGUCAUACCUUUGCCAAUGACAUUUUAGCCAUUUAACAGCCAACUAUACACCUUAGCUUAUUAUACAGUCACAUUAAUUGUCUAAUUAUGCACUGCAAGACAACCAAAUCAAAUACCAACCUCUAGCCGGAAAACACACGGUACAGAUGUCGCCGGCUCCUGGAUUACAAGCACCGCUGCUACCGAACAGCAAGACGGAGAAGCGGCCAUGGGUAUCUGGUGCCGUAUUCAAUGUUGCAACUAGUAUUAUUGGAGCUGGGAUUAUGUCAAUUGCGGCCACCGUUAAAGUCCUGGGCGUAAUACCAGCUUUUGUGCUGAUUGUGAUCAUUGCCUGGCUAACUGACGUCUCCGUGGAAAUUCUGAUGAGAUAUACACAUGCCGGUGAGACGUCAACGUAUGCUGGUGUCAUGAGAGAGUCAUUUGGACGUGCAGGAUCAGUUGCAGCUCAACUCUGUGUCAUGAUCACUAACCUUGGAUGCUUGAUCAUAUUUUUUAUUAUUAUUGGUAAGUCUUCGAUUCUUUGUUUUGAAGGUGGAGGAUGGAUGAUUGAUAAAUGGCAGAUCUUGGUUAAUUCUUUUGGUUGAUGAUCAGGUGAUGUUCUGUGUUGCAAGUAGCCCGAAGGAUCAGUUCAUUUGGGUGUUUUACAAGAAUGGUGCGGCUUUCAUUGGUGGAAUACGCGAGUUAUCGCUCUGCUAUUCGUUAUGGUGUUUGUGAUGCUUCCAUUAGCCUUAUUCGGGCUUGUUGGUUAGUACCUUUGAUGAAAUGAAGCCUUCAAAAUGAUGCUAUAUUUGAUAAUUCUGCCUUGAAUGUUUGAACUUCUUGGUGACUUUGUUGCAUUUGCCUUAUUUCCAGACUCAUUGCGUUUUCAGUUCUGCAAUUUCUGUGCUACUGGCUGUGAUGUUUGUUGCUAUAUGCUCAGUCAUGGCAAUAUAUGCAGUCGGGGAGGGCAAAUCGAAAUCCCCAAAACUACUACCACAGUUGGACAACCAUGUGUCACUUUUUGAUCUUUUCCCUGCUGUCCCAGUUAUUGUUACAGCUUUCACUUUUUAUUUUAAUGGUGAGAACAUUUCGUACAAGUUACUCAGAAUUUCAUCAUUCUGUUGUGUAUUCUAAAAUUGGCGGCGUGUCUUUUUUUUUUUUUUUUUUCUACAAUUCAUCCGAUAGGUUGUGAGCUUGACAAGCCUUCUGACAUGAUCACAGCAGUAAGAAUUUCAUUAGUACUAUGUACCGCCAUCUACUUUUCCGUAGGCCUGUUUGGGUACGUUCUGUUUGGGGAGUCAAUCAUGUCUGACAUCCUUGUAAAUUUCGAUCAAAGUUCUGGUUCAGCAAUUAGUUCAUUACCUCAAUGAACUUGUUUGGUUAAGCUAUGCACUUCACCUCAUGCUUGUGUUCCCUAUGUUGAACUUUUCUCCGAGGGCUAACAUCGAUGAGCUGCUUUUCUCCCAGAAACCUCUUCUGGCAAAAGACACCAAAAGAUUUUUGUCCAUCACCCUUGUCACAAGGCCCUUGUGCUUCUAGUAUUCUCUUACACAGCAGCCAUAAUGAUCCCGGACAUAUGGUACUUCUUUCAGUUCCUAGGAUCGACUUCUGCUGUCUGUCUCGCUUUCAUUUUCCCAGGUGUCAUUGUUCUCAGGUACUUCCUUUUUCAUAUCAGGCAAUCAGGCAUGUCCUUUCUCACCAAUGGCUUACCGAUGUUUGUGCCCAAUCUCAAUCUAAUUCCUUCCGUUGUUUCUAUUUCUAACUUGCAGGGAUGUUCACGGCAUAUCAACAACAGGGGAUAGGAUCAUCGCAACAGUGAUGAUGGUUCUAGCUGUAGUCACUAGCACAAUAGCAAUUUCCACAAAUAUAUAUGGUUCGAUUAGUAACAAAUCCUAGUUUUUUCCUGAUUUGUACUCUUUUGUAGCAAAUGUGAUAUAUAUAUAUAUUUUUUUUUCCCUUCUUUUUGUAUUCUUUUUCUUGGGAAUCCGAUGUUGUUUUGGUCACAUGUAGAAUUGAUAUUUGAUAAAUGUAGUUUAUCAAACACAUUAAGGGAGUUAAAGAGUGCAAUUUCAUGCUAUAUAUAAUAGCAAAUGAUCCUGCCUCUCUUCUUUUGCUUCUGAAUGAAACCUAUAAAUGAUGCUUCAUGAAUUGAUAACUUCUCAAAGAGGAUAUUAAAUGAAUGGUCUCAUAUGAGACCUUACUGAAAAUUUUACUUGAAAUGAACAGUGUUAGACAUACAUAGGCACCAAUACAAGACAUUUUCACUGUGGAUUACUAGUAAUGCCGGAUGAAAGCAUAGUCAAUGCCCGGAUAAACAUAAACCCUGAAAUCUUCCUUACCUUUCCAAGAGCUCCAAGUGAAGUUAUGACUCACCUGCUUAAUCAAGUUACCAGUUUAAUUUUGUGCUUCUAUAUGGUAUUAACAUUCUUUUAAUGGAGCAUGAAUGUUCUGAAGACUAUGUACCUCAGCAAUCACAGUUUCUCCUCUGAAAACUUUAUAGGACUAGCGAGAAGAGUGACAAACCAACGAAUCUGAAAGUCAGAAAUUCCUCAUUAAAAUCACUUGGAAGGUACACUUCCAUCCCAGUUUUUGCUUGAAGAGGAGAAUGAUUUGCUUUCUGCUGAAUAGAAUAUCCCUUGGCUCCCAGCUUUCUCCUCGACGAACCGUCCACUAUUGAGAUUUUAUGUAUUACUUGUACAUUAAACAAUAAAUGAGCAGAUGCUUCACUUUAUGGUAUCGAAUAAAAACAUGUAUACUUUCAUUUUCAAUUUUUUGUAUUUUGUUCUUGUCUUGGUGUCUAUAAUUUCAUAGCAAUUCAACUUACUUUCGGGUGUGUGUGUUUUAUGCCAUUGUAUGCUCAAUUUCCUAGUAAGUCAAUAGAUUUGAGACGUUUCAUUGCAUGCAUUAUGAUUUUAUGUACAUUUGCUGAAUUUAGACUUUUUUGAGGUAACCAGACAAAAGAUGAUAUCUAACUGAUCUGUUUGCUCUGAUUUCAUUCUCAAUGGCAUUUGAUGACUUGCCGAAGUAUGCAUGGUGACCACCAGAAAAGAGAAAAAACAAGAUUAAUCCAAGGCUGAAGCUAUAUGAUCUUGUUGGUGAUCGAUUAGUACCAAUCAGGAUUUCAACUGAUCGCCACCUUUCCGAACCUAAAUAAAGAACACAAAGUAAGCAUCAAAUUAUAUUAAGAAGUUACAAUUAACAAAUUCUAAUGGACAAAUUACUUACCCUGGCUGCUGGUCAGGUUCAAUUCAAUUUUAGCGUGCCACCUUCUUGGUCCACGUUUGAGUAGGACGUUACUUGGAGUUAAAUUUCCAUGAAAAUGACCGCACUCAUGAAGAAAAGCAACGCCUUUGAUUAUAUCCCUACGCAAAACAUUCAAAUUUAGUGCAUGUCAAGAUAUAUUCUUGGGGCAAAAAAAAAAAAAAAAAUGGCAAAACGAGUAUACUUACAAGGCUAUAUCCGUAUAAUCCUGGCUUAACUCCCUGGCCUGCUCAUGAGUCCUGAACACUUCUUUAAAGUUUUCGGCUAUCAUUGUUGUUCUCGGUUCUGACUUAUAUAUAAAAAACAGCUCCAGGCUGAUCAAGCACGGUUCCAUAAACAGUGCAAAUUUCGUCUUGUCAUUGUUCUCAAUUAAUCCAAAGGAGCUCACCACAAAGUCUGAACGGAUAUCUUUCAGAUAUUCAAGUCUUCCAUCCAUGAUAUCUUUCUUCUUAAUCGUCUUUACAACCACAUGUCGGCCAUAAUCAUCCAUACCCCUAUAUCUAGGCUUUUCCUUUGCUGAAACAAAAAUAUAGUUGCCAUCAAUCAGCAUUUACAAUUCCCUGACUGUCCUUUGCUGUUUUAGGCAAUUUAAUAAACACAUUAAUGGCAAUCCAACUCAUUCUGAUUUCGAUUCUUACAGUUCAAGUAAACAACUUAUUUUGAUUCCCAUUCUCCAUUUUCAUUUCAGCUCAUUCCCAUUCCAAUCAAUUCUGAUUCUAGUUUAGUAAAUGCAGCAUAAUACUAUAAGGAGUGUUAAUAUCAUGUAAUGAGGGCUACCAAACAUGCCCUUGAUGUAGGCAGGGACGAAUACUAUUAGGUGGGAAGUCUGGAAACCUUGAGGUAGGAAAUAUGGAAAGCUCAAUUUAAACAUUGAAUGAGUCAAAAGCACCAAGCUGAGGAGGCUAGAAUAUCUAACGAUUAUCACCAGCAAAGAAUCACAGAAGCAUUGCAAAAAUAGGCAAGGAAGUUUGCUACGAAACCACUACACCCGUAACACCUUAGAAAAUAGGUUAAUAACACCCUCUGCGAAAAUCAUGCCUCAUUUUCUUCUCUAUAAAGGUACUUUUAAGGAAAAAUGAAAAAGAAAAUAUGUGGACACUCUACUGAACUAAAACUAUUGAGAUUCAACUCCGAAGGGAAAGAUACUGACUUAAUCAUCAGAGGAGGCACAUUGGCACACCAAAAACCACCAUUUCCAACCCCAUUUUAUUCCACCCACCAAUACAAUACCAAUCCACACGAUAAAUAUAGCUGUUAUUGGGCAACCCAUUAAGAGUUAGAUUUAGGUCAAAGUAUUAAAACCAUUUUACACAAUCCAUUACACUUAAUAUUAAGAGUUUAAUAAAUUUAAUAGCUUAAAUUAAGUAAAUUGACUUUAAAUUUAAUAAUUGUAUAAAGUUAUCACAAAUGAUUCAUUUGGAUAAAAACAUUUUGUUUUCGGGAAAACACAGCAGUUUACUUAAGAUCUCAUAAAAGUAGUCUUAAUUACUAUAUCUAUAUAUAUAUAGUAAAUCAUAACUUACACCAUGAACUUUCGCACGUUCGGAUGGUUCUUUAACAUUGGAUAUCCUCUAACUUUAUCAAAUACUUCAUAUUUUAGGAUGGGAAAAGCCGACGCGCCACUUCUUUGGUUGGAAAAAUCCUUCUCUGCAAGCGAAAAUUGGGACAACGAUCUUGAGAAGAACGGUAGUGAGUCGUGGUGUUGCGUACGAAACGCAACAAGUCAUAACUCGUAACAGGUUGACCUUCACCAGGAUAAUACUCAGUGUCUUUAAAGAAGUUUUUCAUAUCGGUCCCCAUUUUGCUCCACCAAUCAAGACAAGUUAACACACUAUCAGCAAACCCCCUGUUGAAUCCAGGUUCUUCAUUCAAUGUAUCAACGACCUCAAUUAAAAAUUGAAUUGACUUCUCAGGGGACCAGAAUAAAGAAAAAUUUUGACUAUCUGCUGGUCUCGUCCUAGAAAUAUGUGCAUAAACUUAUUAGAAAAUAAAAAACUAUAAUUAAUAUUAAAAAACUAUUAAUUAUAAACUAAAAAGCCAAACCUUACCUUUCAGUUAACAAACUACAGACAACUUGUAUGUAGCCUUUUUUUAGGUCACCAGACAAAAGAUGAUAUCUAACUGAUCUGUUUGCUCUGAUUUCAUUCUCAAUGGCAUUUGAUGACUUGCCGAAGUAUGCAUGGUGACCACCAGAAAAGAGAAAAAACAAGAUUAAUCCAAGGCUGAAGCUAUAUGAUCUUGUUGGUGAUCGAUUAGUACCAGUCAGGAUUUCAACUGAUCGCCACCUUUCCGAACCUAAAUAAAGAACACAAAGUAAGCAUCAAAUUAUAUUAAGAAGUUACAAUUAACAAAUUCUAAUGGACAAAUUACUUACCCUGGCUGCUGGUCAGGUUCAACUAGGGGUGGGCAAAAUAUGAUAUUCAUUUGGUACUUUAUGUACAGAAGCACAUGGUCAUCACGAAUGUUGAUCCUUUGACCCUUUUUUUGACCUCAUAAGAUAUUCACAAUUAAGAUUUAUUUCAUAUUUCCUUGGGUUCUUGUGCUUAAAAUGUCAAUAAGCAUCAAAAUAUAGGUUUCUCUAAAGAUAUGCUGCUGCAAGCGUGCAUAGACAUACAUACUUAUCCAGCGACUUGGAGAUGCAUCCGCAGCUGGAAUGCAGGGUCGGCUUUAGAGUGUUUGGGGCCUUAGGCGAAAUUUUUUUAUGAGGCCUCUAUUUGUUUUGCAAUUUUAAUACUCAAAGAAAUAAAAAAAAAAGCUCAAAAUUUAUUUCAUUUGUAAUUCUUGAAUUUUAAAAAUAAAACCUAAAAAAAAGUUAAGAAGAUAUUUUUUUAUUCCAUUAAAACUAUUACCAAAUAAACAAUCAAAUAAAUAUGAAUAAUAUUAUUUUCAAAUAGGAUAUUUCGAAUGAUAGAACAUAAAAAGUUGAGGAUGAUGAAUUAAUGAUCAGAUAAUAGAAAUGGACUUUGUAUUUCUAUAAAUUGAUUUUUUUUAAAUGAACCAAUGAAUAUAAUAUUUUCCUUUCUAGAGAAGUGAGGAAGAAAUUUUUUCAUUUACUGAUUUUUGAGAUUACAAAUUUUUUAAUGGAAAUUAAAAGAAAUACUAAAAGUCAAAUAUUCUAACAUUAAAUAAUUAAUUUUUUUGAGGAAAUUGAAAAGAUAACUAAUUUAAUUUUUUUUGAAAAGACUAAUAAUAAUGAAUUAAUGAUUAAAUAAUAUUAUUAGUUAUAUCUAUUUAACAUUAAUGUUAUCAAAUAUAGAUUUUUCAUAAAAAAUAAUUCUUAACUAUAUGAUAAUUAAUAAUUAGAGAGAUGUUAAUAAACUUUUUGAUUUCCUAAAAUACGUAAUUUAAAAAAAAAAUGAGAAUUAUUAAAAAAAUUCAAAAAAUGAGACCUUCACAAAAUAUGGGGCCUUUGGCGACAGCCUUGUUCGCCUAUACCUAAAGCCACCCCUGCUGGAAUGUACAAACUACUUUUCAGCACUCUUCAUGGGAGAACAUCAACUGUGUCCCAAUGUGCCCUUCCUAUAUGUAUAAGCCAACUCCUUGGUGAUUUAUGUUAUCGAACCUCUCAGAAUUGUUACUACUCUAUUUUUGUUCUUGAACUCAUUGAAUUUCAUAAUGCAAAUCUUUUUCUUUGGUUUAAUUUUUUUCAACCAGUGUAAUCAAAGUCUGCAUUUUCUCAUUUGGUUUCAGGCCUGUUUAUUAUGGAUAGCUACAGCGUUCCAUUUAGGACGCCGCCAGGCACAACUAGCAAAGCUUUUGGUGAACCCCACUGCUUGAAAAAAAAAAAAAAAAAAAAAAAUUCAGAUGAUUAUUUUUUUUGGUUUUUUUUGGGGUACUUUAGCCGUGAAACCACGGACAUGGACUGGUUCUAUGUAGAUCUUCUCCUCUUUGCGGAUUUUUUUAUGGAACUUGCUGCACAUCAUCAUCCUUAAUCUCCAUUAAGGUCUGCUAUAAAUUUACAUUUCAUUGCAUCACUUAUAAUCUUUUUGGUUUCAUGAGUUGCUUGAUACAUGAGCUGAUGUGCCUUUACAACUUUGAUGCUGGCUUGUGAAUUGAUCGUGAGUACCAACUCUCUGAACUUGAUUGCUUUUGCCCUUAGAAAAGCUGAUUCUGAUCCACGAAGUGGGGCUGAUGGGCAGACUGCACCUGCAGCCAAAGUACCUUCUCCUAGGUCAGCUACUUCAAUAGUGAAGCCUCACCUAUGGGUCAUCCUAGAUGGACUUCGGCUUAUAUUCUCCUCAAAUUGUCUGUUGUCUGUGUCUUUAUUCCUUUGGCUGAGUGCAGUUGUCUCGUUAUUUUCUUAUUUUCAGGUAAAGCAGCCUCUAUUCCUUAACAUGUUUUACCAACCUCUUGCAUGUAUUGAUUUUAUACUAUAUUUCAAACUCAGUGGUGCGCACUCCUUUCCUCAAUUUCAGAAAGUCACUGUUAUUACCAUGACUGUUUCUAGCUCUCUUGGAAGAAGAAGAUUGCUUGCCGAGAUAAAUAGCUUUAUUGCUGUUUUUAUCCUUGCUGGACAACUCAGUUUAACGGUAUGCUGACUGUAGAUUAGGUUUUGCAAUGUUUUUUUAUUUGAUGUUUUACUUGCUUCUUACUAUGACUUUCCUCUUGAAUACCUGGUUUUCUGGGUUUUUAGUGUUAAGUUUUUCAAUGUAGAGUCUAUGAAUUCAAUAAGUGUCACAUUUCUCUUCCUAUUAGCGUGUGGUUGGGAGUAAACACUAGUGUGGAAUGCUGCUUGAUAAGGUUGUUUCUAAGUCUGUGAAUAGACGAUGAUGGUCAAACUGUACAUAUUUAGUAGAAUCAUAUGUAUUAUAAUGAGUCAUGCCAAAGAAAAAUGUAUAAUCAUGAGAAUAUUUCAGAGGGAAAACUCCAUCACCCACAUUAGAUGCCAUUAGUGUAACUGUGCAAGUUUUUGAUAACUUACCGUAUUCCUAUUUUGACUCUGGAGAUGCGUUAUUUAAAUUAUCUGAACUGGAUCUCUGGUUCCCCUCCUUGUUUCCUCUCCAUGCAACCCGUAACCUCUUGAAGUUGUACUGGAUCAUUCAAAUUGAAUUUCCUGCACUUGAGCUUCUGUGAACUAUGUCAUAGGUUUUCUUAGAAUUAUCAUGAUAUGGUGAUCCUAGCCUUUUUCUUUUUUUCCAUUUUCGCUUAUCUAAUUAUGUACAGGGGCACAUCCUUUCUGUUGGUGGGAUUACUGUAGCCAUAUGCUCUGCUCCAUUUAUUGCCUUCUCAAAUAUGAUUGCUGAUGCAAUUUGGCCAACUUGGGUGACUGUCGCUUUUUCAGAGACAAUACGAAAGGUUUGUCACGAGCUAUUGUUUUUUAUUUUCUUUUUAUUACCCUCCAAUACUGUUGGACUCGUCUAUUGGUUAUAAACUCAAUUUCCAGUAUUACAGUCUACAGAACCAUAUACAGUGUGCUUAUGAAGUAAGACCGUUAAAGGAAGGUUAUUCUAAAAUUCUAAAGUUGAGAAAAUCUCACAGUUGGGAGACUUCCAUUCCUUGCAGGUGGUUACUUAUGUUGUAAACAGGCCUGGAAGAGAACUACUAUUUACUGUUGUUUCCCAAGAGGAAAAAUACAAAGCUAAGGUGUGCUAAUUUUCUCUAUUACUGAGUUUUAUUCUUAGAAAUGAGGCAAUGUGAUAUUCAUUUGGUACUUUAUGUACAGAAGCACAUGGUCAUCACGAAUGUUGAUCCUUUGACCCUUUUUUUGACCUCAUAAGAUAUUCACAAUUAAGAUUUAUUUCAUAUUUCCUUGGGUUCUUGUGCUUAAAAUGUCAAUAAGCAUCAAAAUAUAGGUUUCUCUAAAGAUAUGCUGCUGCAGGCGUGCAUAGACAUACAUACUUAUCCAGCGACUUGGAGAUGCAUCCGCAGCUGGAAUGUACAAACUACUUUUCAGCACUCUUCAUGGGAGAACAUCAACUGUGUCCCAAUGUGCCCUUCCUAUAUGUAUAAGCCAACUCCUUGGUGAUUUAUGUUAUCGAACCUCUCAGAAUUGUUACUACUCUAUUUUUGUUCUUGAACUCAUUGAAUUUCAUAAUGCAAAUCUUUUUCUUUGGUUUAAUUUUUUUCAACCAGUGUAAUCAAAGUCUGCAUUUUCUCAUUUGGUUUCAGGCCUGUUUAUUAUGGAUAGCUACAGCGUUCCAUUUAGGACGCCGCCAGGCACAACUAGCAAAGCUUUUGGUGAACCCCACUUCUUGAAAAAAAAAAAAAAAAUUCAGAUGAUUAUUUUUUUUGGUUUUUUUUUGGGGUACUUUAGCCGUGAAAUAUAGGCUGCAAAUAUGUAUAUUUUCCAGUUCAACGGCGGUAAUAAUUUGUUUUUUUCCAUGUAUCUACCAUGACUUGAAUUAGUACCCCAGCCACACCUACACCCAAAAUUAGGUGGAAUCCUCAUUUGGUUCUAUUUCCAUAACAAAGAGACUAAUUAGGCUUUAAUACAGAAUAAUACCCAAACAAGUAUUUGUAUAUACCAUCCCUAGACAAGUAUUCCAGAAGCCUUUUUUGUUUUUCCCCUCCCCUUCCAAUGGGAUAAAAACAAAAGCUUAUGUGUAUAUGCGAAAUCUUUGGAAAACUCAAGGAUGACAUGUCGAAUGUAUUCUAAAGAUGUCAAACUGGCAUGUGUUUCACGGAUAUCAGCAAUUGAAACUGAUUUCAUCGAAAUGUUGCUCGGAAUUGCAAUUGUUUCAUUGAUCAUACUGGAGUCUUCAUAUUUAUAGGUCUCUGGGCAUUGAGAGAGCAAUUUGAAUGGUUUAAUCAGCUUUCACCCACUUGGACGAGUCAUGUUAAUUGGUUUAGACUUCAUUAAAGUGCUAGAUAAUACUUUUUUAUUUAUCAGUGUUUUUUUCCUCACUCAAUUAAAAAAUAUAUAUGUAUUGUAGUGAGAGCCUACACGAUAUAAUUUGAGUGUGUUGCUCUAGUUAUUACCACUAUUUGUAAAAUAUUUGCUUUAAUACAUAUCUUUAUCAUCUCUUAAUAUCAUUUUAUUUUAUCUUUUAAAAAAAACAUGUGCUGUAUACGUGCCCUCAAUCUCUCAAACUGAAGAUGAGAUACAUCUUCCAAUUAAUGCUCGGGGUGCAGCAAUAGUUUCAAAUAAUAAAAUAUUUAUAUGCAAUUUGGGUUAAAGUUUGCAGGAAAACUGAUGAUAGUAUCGUGACGACUCCAAUGCUCUCACAAAAAUUGAUUAGCGGUAUAAAGCAAUUUCAAACAUAUACUUAAGUCCUAUUUGUGAUUAAUGAUAAAACCUACACUUAGGUCCUAUUUGUGAUUAACGUUAAAAUUCAACAAGUUGCUUAUUUGAUAAAUUUUAUAAAAAUAACUUAUUUCAUAAUUUACUCCAUUUUAACAGCAGCUUUUAAAGUAAUUGGCGGUUACUUUUUAUUAGUAAUAGCAGCUAGGUGUUGCUUUUUAUAAGCAACUUAUUAAAUAGGUCACCGCACUUUUUUAAAGUCCUUAUUAUAACCUUAAUAUUUUAACCAACACACACACACACGCACACUUUUUCAUGAACAUUAAUAUAUAAAUUAUUAGAUAUCAUAUUACCGCCACAACUACUUAUGUUCUAUCCAAUAUCAAUUUAAUGUGAAUUUAAUACAUAUUACUUUUUAUUUUCUUUAGGUUAUGUAUAAGUAUGAAUUUUUUUUCAUAUUUUAUAUAACAGAUUAUGAAGUUCAUUAAAUUUUAUUUUUUUGAGUUUUUUCAUUUUAUGUAGUUUUACACAUUUUAAAAAAAGUAAGUGUAAAUGAUUUAUUAAACAUACUCUAAAAAUAAAAGGCAAUUUAAACUUAUGUUUAUUUUGGUAUUAUAUAAUAAAAUAGUACUUUUCAUAAUAAAAUUUAUUAUACGCCUAUACUCUAUCUUUUCAAAUUCAUAACAACUACAAUAAUACAGUUUACCAAAUACCAACCUGUAUUUUUAAUUAGCAGCUUAUUUCAUCUGCAUAGUAUCAACUAGGGGUGGGCAAAAAAAGCUGAUUAAUUAAAAAUCGAACCGAACCAAUCGGUUCGGUUUUUGUGCGAUUUUUUAAUCUUAAAAAAACCGAAAUGGUAAUAUAAAAAAAAAAAAAUAGUAAAAACCAAUCGGUUCGGUUUUCGGUUUAAAAAAAAAACCGCAAAACCGAACCGAAAUCUCAAAUAAACCGAUUGUUUUUGAAAGCUAAAGCUAAAACCUAAAAACCUAAAAUCUAAAUCUAAACUUCUGACUUCUGUCUUCUCGGUUCCCGACUUCCCGCUGGCCGCUGCUCGUCGUGACUUCUUCUGUUCUCGCUGGCCGUGCGGCAUCUCUCGCUGCAAUUUUUGCAAUCGUGCGGCAUCCCUCGCCGCAAUUUUUGCUUCGGCUAACCUUGUUACUGUCUCAACUGCACUCUUUUCCAGAGUUGAAAUCAUUCUGCUUUUUGGCCUCCGUUGUCUGCACCCAGACCUUUACAAAUUGACCUUAUUGAUUGAUUGCUUUUGCUUGGGAAAUCACAGAGAAGAUGCAACACAUCAGGUGGGAUGCACUUUCCUUCUUGGGCAUAUUAUCGAACACGUCCUAGGCAUGAGAAUUAUACCAUAAUUCCUCAACAAUAUCUCUCUUGAACCUGGCCUGCAAAUUCCAUAUAAUCAUUCCUUUGUCUAUUUGUUUUGGGAUUGGGACAGAAAGGAAGAGGGUUUCCGCUGCUGCUGGCGGCCAUAUUAUCGAAGGGACCUACGCCGAAUCUGAACCGUUGAUUCGCUUGUUGGACUUGAUUAGGACCCACAAUCAUCAUCUAUCAUCCUUGUUCGAGUGUCGGCUUAAAAGCCAGGUACAGGUAGUUUAUAUGUUUAAUAAUUUGGGACCACCAUGUUGUGCUGCCAUGUCAAAUUUUUCUGCAGUUCUCUUUUUCAUUUUUUUUAUAAAUAUAAUCUCGGAUUUUUGUAGAUAGUUUAUGUAAUAAUUUAAUAUAUAUAUUCUUGGUUGGCCAAAAAUGAAUACAAAUGCAAUUAAUGAAUGAAGAAGUUAUUCAUAAAGCAUCAUUUAUUUAUUUGUUCAUUGCGGUUAAGUUGUAUGCGAUCCAUUUGGUUGUUGGUUACAACCAGUUAAAUAUUAUUUAAAAAUAAAAUAUAACAUGUUAAUUAAGAUGAAUGUUGUAAUAUGAAGUCUCUUUAAUUUUGUAAAAUGUGCGUGGUUAUUCAAUAAUUUUGUAAAAUGGUAGAUUUAUUAAUUUAAGCUUUUAAAUUUAAAAAAAGCCCAAAAUAAGCCCAAUAGGCCCAUAAUCGAAAUAAUCGAACCGAAUCGAAUCGAAUUAUUUCAAUUAAUCGAGUAUUUGAUUAUUUCGGUAAUUUGAUUAAUCGCGAUUAUGAUUUUAAAAUAAUCGUAAUCGAACGAUUAUGAAAAAUUUAGUAAAAAAUCGAACCGAACCGAACCGCGCCCACCCCUUGUGUCAACCACCGUAAUCCCAAACUGUCCUUAAUUUAUCAUUUGUAAUUCCAAACAAAAUUAUUUUACCUCUUUUUCUAUUGUUUGAGGCGGAAAUUUCACCAAGCCAUGUGUCACAAGAAUGGGCUCCUUCUAUAAUUGUGAUUAAAUAGAAAUUCGGACUACAUGGUCUGCGAUCCGCCUUAUUCCGUUGUGCAGUUCGAAGAGUGAUGUCCAAAAGCCUAUUUAGGCGUUGAUAUGGCCCAAAUAUGCUCUUGUUGUGAUUUUGACCUUGGCUUGAGUAGUCACAGAUGCCAUGAUAUUGCACACUAGGAAAGUUCUUAGGAAAGACUGGAGGGGUUACAACGGUCCCACGUAAAACCCAGUCUCCUUAAGCUCUUAUCGCUUUGGUAACAAAACUUUUCUAGACAUGUGCAAUACUGCACGAUUGCUCCAUUCUUGGCCUUCGAAUACUCUUGUUGAGAACAGUGCCGUAUGCGUGAAUAGUAUCGUAUGCGUGAAUAGUAUCGUAUACGUGAACAGUGUCGUACUCGUGAAUGGUGUCAUAUGUCUAAACAAUAACUUUACUCAAAUAAUUACACUCAAUGGCUCUGGUAAUACGUUUAUGGAUUAACGAGCAAAGUAGAUGCACAACUGAAAUGAAAAAUGAGAAGUAAACAUUACACAAGAGACAUAAGGAUUUACGUGGUUCGACUUUUGAGCUUACGUCCACGAGAGAAGAUGAGAAGAAGUAUUUUACUAAUUGUAUAGAGUUACAAGUAUUGUUGUAUUUAACUCACAAUCUAAAACCCUAAUACACCCAAACUCUCAAAAUACUCUCUCAAUUGAUGCUUCUUCCACACUACACUUGAUGAUUUCUCCAUGCCUUAAUCCACUUAUUUAUAGUGCAAAACCAAGCCUUAAAUGUCUAUUUUGGUUGGCUUUAAAAUAUUAAUUUAUUUUAUUUCAUCAAAAUUGGUGUGCAUUAAAAUAAUAGUUUAUUUAUAAAAAUCAACAUAUUAUUUUGUUUAAUCAAAAUUGGUGGGCUUUAAAAUAAUAAUUUAUUUAUAAAAAUCAAGUUAUUAUUUUAAUAAAAUAAUUUGUUUUGUCAAAAUUGGUUAGUGAUAUUUAUUGCUAUCAUUUUACUGUAUUUAGACUGCAAUAACAGAUGUUUCUGCUGAAUAUCUCGAACAAUUAGUUUGACUUAACUCCACAUUUUCUUCGCAAAUUUCUUAUUGGUCAAUGUCUGACACGAACUAUAAGAAGCAUGUAACAUAUCUCGUGCCUGAGCCUUAUGAGCUGAAUUGGGUUAUUGGGCCUAAUAUCGAUUUUCAGGUAGUAAUAACUAUUAACCUCAAACGCAGACCAAAAUGCUAGUGCUUCUGUGACAUUGCCUUUUAACAUAUGUUUGUUUGCUGAUAUUUCAUUGAUGAUACUCCUUUGGGAUUAAUAUAGGAGUAAGCAUGCUGAAAUAGGUGUCUAUUACAUUGAAAUGGAGCAAUUUGAACGGCUAUAUCAUCAACAUUCGCCAAUUUGACAACUCAAUUGGUUUAGGUCCAUUAAAAUUAAUUACUAAAACUAUGCGCUUCUUUUUGUUAUUUUUAUUAUCAUCAUCAUCAAUUUUACUUUUGACGCAAAAUUUUCGUGUCUCAUUUAUUAUUAGUUUGUUGUGUCUCGGAGAUAAACAGAAAGACGUGUUAAAACUGCAAAUGGCAUUUUGGAGUUGAACAGACACGAGAUAAAUUCCAAGGUUCAGGCAACGGGGGAUGUACAGAGUCUACAGACAACGAACACGAAAGUGAAAUCGAUAUCAAGCAAAGUUCCAUCAGAUCGAGUAAAAUUGAAGCUAAAAUUCAUGGUUUGUUUAAGAUUUGACCUAAAAGAGAUGACUAUUUAAUUGAUACAACUGGAUAUUGAUAAAGCGUUGAAUGCUAGUUUUCAAAUCUAUGAUUAGUAUGAGGCAGCGGCUACCUUGGAUCAGCUCUAAGGUAGACCACCCACCACAGCCAUUGGAUGCAUGUACUUGAACUUGAAACAAUUGUGACUGAGUGCAUCCAAUGAGUGUGGUGGAUGGUCUACCUUGGAGCUAAUCCAAAGGUAGCCAAACCCUUAGUAUUAUUAUAUACUGCUCCUUAUGCUUAUAUUAAUCACAUAAGAUGUUGUGUCAAUUCAAAUACCAUUUUUGUAUCUUAAAUAUUGUAAGAGUAGCAUUUUUAUUUUUUAUCUAAAAUUUUAAAUAGGUAUGUUUGAAUAUAUUUGUCUUUCGUUCUUUACAUUUGUUUAUUUUUAAGGGAAAAGUACACUUUCAAUCUUUAAGGUUUGGGAAAAUAAUCAUUGUAAAUUUUCAAAGUUUCAACAGGAGAUACUCGGACUCCUUGUUAACUACAAUACCUUUUGACUUUAUUAACUAAAAAUAAUAACUAAUGUUUAUAAUAAAUAGAAAAUAGUAUCAAAAUAAAUGUAAUAAUAUAUACAUUUUAAAAUAAUUUCAAUAUUUAAAAAUAUUUUAAUACCAUACAAUCUUAUGUUAUUAAACUAAAUUAGGUAGUAAAUAGAAACAUAGUAUUAAAAUAAAUAUAAAAGUUUAAGUUAUUUUAAUAUUAUAUAAAAUAAUUUUAAUAAUGUUAAUGCAUGAGAUACAUUUUAUUAAUUAUAAAAUCUAUUUAACAUGAAGAUUGAUUUAAAAUUUUUAUAAAAGUGAGUAUCCUAAUACAUCCAUAUGAUCUAUCUAAAUCUGGCAUGCCCAAGAUUUUUUUAUCUUGCAGCCUCCAUAACACAAUAAAAAUAUCAUUUAGCAGAUACAUAUUUUUUAAAAAAGGAAAAAUAGCAUUAUUCUCUCCUGCAGGCAUCUGCAAUUUAUUAAAUCUCAAAUUAUAUGCAAAAGUUUGCUAAUAUGCAUAUGACUAGAGUUGAUGACUCCAAAGUCUAAAUCAAAACAGACAUGGACAAUAAUGCUCAUCUUAUGAUGAGCAAUAUUGUGCUGUGGCGUUGACUAGUCAGGGUUCGGUUAGAAAAUGUGAUUAACUUCAACACUAGUUACAAAAUUGAGCUAAAGCUCAGUUGCUCGUCAAUAGAGUGACUGAAGUUGCCAACCAGCUAUGAAUACAUAAAUGAGAAAUAUUAAACAGAACAAGCGAUGAAGAGAGGUCUGAGUUGUAUGUCCGGGGAGUCUGUUCUCUGAACGAAGCAUCAUAUCCAGGCAGAACGCAGUUUUCAUACCCUCCAAAUCUUCUUGGCUUUUCAUAUCAUGCCCCCGUUCUGUUGGUGGCGCGCUAACAAAAGAAUAAACAAGUAUCAAUAUAUAGGCUUUAAUUUGAAUUGUAAAUCGGUGUAAAAAUCAAUUAUGAUUUUCAUUGUCUUAUGAUAGUGAAAUUGUAGUAUUACAGUCCUGUUCCAGUAAUAUAUAUAAAGCAGAAAUUACAGAGAAAAAGAUCUCAAACAUUGUGUAAUUUAUGAUCGCCGUAGUCCUCAGAUUUAUAGCAGGUAUCAUGUUCANUCACUUAUAAUCUUUUUGGUUUCAUGAGUUGCUUGAUACAUGAGCUGAUGUGCCUUUACAACUUUGAUGCUGGCUUGUGAAUUGAUCGUGAGUACCAACUCUCUGAACUUGGUUGCUUUUGCCCUUAGAAAAGCUGAUUCUGAUCCACGAAGUGGGGCUGAUGGGCAGACUGCACCUGCAGCCAAAGUACCUUCUCCUAGGUCAGCUACUUCAAUAGUGAAGCCUCACCUAUGGGUCAUCCUAGAUGGACUUCGGCUUAUAUUCUCCUCAAAUUGUCUGUUGUCUGUGUCUUCCCUUUGGCUGAGUGCAGUUGUCUCGUUAUUUUCUUAUUUUCAGUUAAAGCAGCCUCUAUUCCUUAUGUUUACCAACCUCUUGCAUGUAUUGAUUUUAUACUAUAUUUCAAACUCAGUGGCGCGCACUCCUUUCCUCAAUUUCAGAAAGUCACUGCUAUUGCCAUGACUGUUUCUAGCUCUCUUGGAAGAAGAAGAUUGCUUGCCGAGAUAAAUAGCUUUAUUGCUGUUUUUAUCCUUGCUGGACAACUCAGUUUAACGGUAUGCUGACUGUAGAUUAGGUUUUGCAAUGUUUUUUUAUUUGAUGUUUUACUUGCUUCUUACUAUGACUUUCCUCUUGAAUACCUGGUUUUCUGGGUUUUUAGUGUUAAGUUUUUCAAUGUAGAGUCUAUGAAUUCAAUAAGUGUCACAUUUCUCUUCCUAUUAGCGUGUGGUUGGGAGUAAACACUAGUGUGGAAUGCUGCUUGAUAAGGUUGUUUCUAAGUCUGUGAAUAGACGAUGAUGGUCAAACUGUACAUAUUUAGUAGAAUCAUAUGUAUUAUAAUGAGUCAUGCCAAAGAAAAAUGUAUAAUCAUGAGAAUAUUUCAGAGGGAAAACUCCAUCACCCACAUUAGAUGCCAUUAGUGUAACUGUGCAAGUUUUUGAUAACUUACCGUAUUCCUAUUUUGGCUCUGGAGAUGCGUUAUUUAAAUUAUCUGAACUGGAUCUCUGGUUCCCCUCCUUGUUUCCUCUCCAUGCAACCCGUAACCUCUUGAAGUUGUACUGGAUCAUUCAAAUUGAAUUUCCUGCACUUGAGCUUCUGUGAACUGUCAUAGGUUUUCUUAGAAUUAUCAUGAUAUGGUGAUCCUAGCCUUUUUCUUUUUUUCCAUUUUCGCUUAUCUAAUUAUGUACAGGGGCACAUCCUUUCUGUUGGUGGGAUUACUGUAGCCAUAUGCUCUGCUCCAUUUAUUGCCUUCUCAAAUAUGAUUGCUGUUGCAAUUUGGCCAACUUGGGUGACUGUCGCUUUUUCAGAGACCAUACGAAAGGUUUGUCACGAGCUAUUGUUUUUUUAUUUUCUUUUUAUUACCCUCCAAUACUGUUGGACUCGUCUAUUGGUUAUAAACUCAAUUUCCAGUAUUACAGUCUACAGAACCAUAUUCAGUGUGCUUAUGAAGUAAGACCGUUAAAGGAAGGUUAUUCUAAAUUCUAAAGUUGAGAAAAUCUCACAGUUGGGAGACUUCCAUUCCUUGCAGGUGGUUACUUAUGUUUGUAAACAGGCCUGGAAGAGAACUACUAUUUACUGUUGUUUCCCAAGAGGAAAAAUACAAAGCUAAGGUGUUGCUAAUUUUCUCUAUUACUGAGUUUUAUUCUUAGAAAUGAAGAGGCAAUGUGAUAUUCAUUUGGUACUUUAUGUACAGAAGCACAUGGUCAUCCACGAAUGUUGAUCCUUUGACCCUUUUUUUUGACCUCAUAAGAUAUUCACAAUUAAGAUUUAUUUCAUAUUCCUUGGGUUCUUGUGCUUAAAAUGUCAAUAAGCAUCAAAAUAUAGGUUUCUCUAAAGAUAUGCUGCUGCAGGCGUGCAUAGACAUACUUAUCCAGCGACUUGGAGAUGCAUCCGCAGCUGGAAUGUACAAACUACUUUCAGCACUCUAUCAUGGGAGAACAUCAACUGUGUCCCAAUGUGCCCUUCCUAUAUGUAUAAGCCAACUCCUUGGUGAUUUAUGUUAUCGAACCUCUCAGAAUUGUUACUACUACUCCAUUUUUUGUUCUUGAACUCAUUGAAAUUUCAUAAUGCAAAAUCUUUUUCUUUGGUUUAAUUUUUUCAACCAGUGUAAUCAAAGUCUGCAUUUUCUCAUUUGGUUUCAGGUCUGUUUAUUAUGGAUAGCUACAGCGUUCCAUUUAGGACGCCGCCAGGCACAACUAGCAAAGCUUUUGGUGAACCCCACUUCUUGAAAAAAAAUAAAAAAAUUUCAGAUGAUUAUUUUUUUUGGUUUUUUUUUGAGGGGUACAUUUUAGCCGUGAAAUAUAGGCUGCAAUAUGUAUAUUUUCCAGUUCAACGGCGGUAUAUAAUUUGUUUUUUUCCAUGUAUCUACCAUGACUUGAAUUAGUCCCCAGCCACACCUACACCAAAAUUAGGUGGAAUCCUCAUUUGGUUCUAUUUCCAUAACAAAAAGACUAAUUAGGCUUUAAUACAGAAUAAUACCCAAACAAGUAUUUGUAUAUACCAUCCCUAGACAAGUAUUCCAGAAGCCUUUUUUGUUUUUCCCCUCCCCUUCCAAUGGGAUAAAACAAAAGCUUAUGUGUAUAUGCGAAAUCUUUGGAAAACUCAAGAUGACAUGUCGAAUGUAUUUCUAAAGAUGUCAAACUGGCAUGUGUUUCACGGAUAUCAGCAAUUGAAACUGAUUUCAUCGAAAUGUUGCUCGGAAUUGCAAUUGUUUCAUUGAUCAUACUGGAGUCUUCAUAUUUAUAGGUCUCUGGGCAUUGAGAGAGCAAUUUGAAUGGUUUAAUCAGCUUUCACCCACUUGGACGAGUCAUGUUAAUUGGUUUAGACUUCAUUAAAGUGCUAGAUAAUACUUUUUUAUUUAUCAGUGUUUUUUUCCUCACUCAAUUAAAAAACAUAUAUAUAUUGUAGUGAGAGCCUACACGAUAUAAUUUGAGUGUGUUGCUCUAGUUAUUACCACUAUUUGUAAAAUAUUUGCUUUAAUACAUAUCUUUAUCAUCUCUUAAUAUCAUUUUAUUUUAUCUUUUAAAAAAACAUGUGCUGUAUACGUGCCCUCAAUCUCUCAAACUGAAGAUGAGAUACAUCUUCCAAUUAAUGCUCGGGGUGCAGCAAUAGUUUCAAAUAAUAAAAUAUUUAUAUGCAAUUUGGGUUAAAGUUUGCAGGAAAACUGAUGAUAGUAUCGUGACGACUCCAAUGCUCUCACAAAAAUUGAUUAGCGGUCUAAAAGCAAUUUCAAACAUAUACCUAAGUCCUAUUUGUGAUUAACGAUAAAACCUAUACUUAGGUCCUAUUUGUGAUUAACGUUAAAAUUCAACAAGUUGCUUAUUUGAUAAAUUUUAUAAAAAAUAGCUUAUUUCAUAAUUUACUCCAUUUUAACAGCAGCUUUUAAAGUAAUUGGCGGUUACUUUUUAUUAGUAAUAGCAGCUAGGUGUUGCUUUUUAUAAGCAACUUAUUAAAUAGGUCACCGCACUUUUUUAAAGUCCUUAUUAUAACCUUAAUAUUUUAACCAACACACACACACACUUUUUCAUGACAUUAAUAUAUAAAUUAUUAGAUAUCAUAUUACCGCCACAACUACUUAUGUUCUAUCCAAUAUCAAUUUAAUGUGAAUUUUAAUACAUAUUACUUUUUAUUUUCUUUAGGUUAUGUAUAAGUAUGAAUUUUUUUUUCAUAUUUUAUGUAACAAUUAUGAAGUUCAUUAAAUUUUAUUUUUUUGAGUUUUUUUCAUUUUAUGUAGUUUUAACAUAUUUUAAAAAAAGUAAGUGUAAAUGAUUUAUUAAACAUACUCUAAAAAUAAAAGGCAAUUUAAACUUAUGUUUAUUUUGGUAUUAUAUAAUAAAAUAGUACUUUUCAUAAUAAAAUUUAUUAUACGCCUAUACUCUAUAUUUUCAAAUUCAUAACAACUACAAUAAUACAGUUUACCAAAUACCAACCUGUAUUUUUAAUUAGCAGCUUAUUUCAUCUGCAUAGUAUCAAGUAUCAACUAGGGGUGGGCAAAAAAAGCUGAUUAAUUAAAAAUCGAACCGAACCAAUCGGUUCGGUUUUUUGUGCAGUUUUUUAAUCUUAAAAAACCGAAAUGGUAAUAUAAAAAAAAAUAAUAAAACCAAUCGGUUCGGUUUUCGGUUUAAAAAAAAACCGCAAAACCGAACCGAAAUCUCAAAUAAACCGAUUGUUUUUGAAAGCUAAAGCUAAAACCUAAAAGCCUAAAAUCUAAAUCUAAACUUCUGACUUCUGUCUUCUCGGUUCCCGACUUCCCGCUGGCCACUGCUCGUCGUGACUUCUUCUGUUCUCGCUGGCCGUGCGGCAUCUCUCGCUGCAAUUUUUGCGAUCGUGCGGCAUCCCUCGCCGCAAUUUUUGCUUCUGCUAACCUUGUUACUGUCUCAACUGCACUCUUUUUCCAGAGUUGAAAUCAUUCUGCUUUUUGGCCUCCGUUGUCUGCACCCAGACCUUUACAAAUUGACCUUAUUGAUUGAUUGCUUUUGCUUGGGAAAUCACAGAGAAGAUGCAACACAUCAGGUGGGAUGCACUUUCCUUCUUGGGCAUAUUAUUGAACACGUCCUAGGCAUGAGAAUUAUACCAUAAUUCCUCAACAAUAUCUCUCUUGAACCUGGCCUGCAAAUUCCAUAUAAUCAUUCCCUUGUCUAUUUUGUUUUGGGAUUGGGACAGAAAGGAAGAGGGUUUCCGCUGCUGCUGGCGGCCAUAUUAUCGAAGGGACCUACGCCGAAUCUGAACUGUUGAUUCGCUUGUUGGACUUGAUUAGGACCCACAAUCAUCAUCUAUCAUCCUUGUUCGAGCGUCGGCUUAAAAGCCAGGUACAGGUAGUUUAUAUGUUUAAUAAUUUGGGACUACCAUGUUUGUGCUGCCAUGUCAAAUUUUUCUGCAGUUCUCUUUUUCAUUUUUUUUAUAAUAUAUAAUCUCGAUUUUUGUAGAUAGUUUAUGUAAUAAUUUAAUAUAUAUAUUCUUGGUUGGCCAAAAUGAAUACAAAUGCAAUUAAUGAAUGAAGAAGUUAUUCAUAAAGCAUCAUUUAUUUAUUUGUUCAUUGCGGUUAAGUUGUAUGCGAUCCAUUUGGUUGUUGGUUACAACCAGUUAAAUAUUUAUUUAAAAAUAAAAUAUAACCUGUUAAUUAAGAUGAAUGUUGUAAUAUGAAGUCUCUUUAAUUUUGUAAAAUGUGUGUGGUUAUUCAAUAAUUUUGUAAAAUGGUAGAUUUAUUAAUUUAAGCUUUUAAAUUUAAAAAAAGCCCAAAAUAAGCCCAAUAGGCCCAUAAUCGAAAUAAUCGAAUCGAAUCGAAUCGAAUUAUUUCAAUUAAUUGAGUAUUUGAUUAUUUCGGUAAUUUGAUUAAUCGCGAUUAUGAUUUUAAAAUAAUCGUAAUCGAACGAUUAUGAAAAAUUUAGUAAAAAAUCGAACCGAACCGAACCGCGCCCACCCCUUGUGUCAACCACCGUAAUCCCAAACUGUCCUUAAUUUAUCAUUUGUAAUUCCAAACAAAAUUAUUUUACCUCUUUUUCUAUUGUUUGAGGCGGAAAUUUUACCAAGCCAUGUGUCACAAGAAUGGGCUCCUUCUAUAAUUGUGAUUAAAUAGAAAUUCGGACUACAUGGUCUGCGAUCCGCCUUAUUCCGUUGUGCAGUUCGAAGAGUGAUGUCCAAAAGCCUAUUUAGGCGUUGAUAUGGCCCAAAUAUGCUCUUGUUGUGAUUUUGACCUUGGCUUGAGUAGUCACAGAUGCCAUGAUAUUGCAUACUAGGAAAGUUCUUAGGAAAGACUGGAGGGGUUACAACGGUCCCACGUAAAACCCAGUCUCCUUAAGCUCUUAUCGCUUUGGUAACAAAACUUUUCUAGACAUGUGCAAUACUGCACGAUUGCUCCAUUCUUGGCCUUCGAAUACUCUUGUUGAGAACAGUGCCGUAUGCGUAAAUAAUAUCGUAUACGUGAACAGUGUCGUACUCGUGAAUGGUGUCAUAUGUCUAAACAAUAACUUUACUUCAAAUAAUUACACUCAAUGGCUCUGGUAAUACGUUUAUGGAUUAACGAGCAAAGUAGAUGCACAACUGAAAUGAAAAAUGAGAAGUAAACAUUACACAAGAGACAUAAGGAUUUACGUGGUUCGACUUUUGAGCUUACGUCCACGAGAGAAGAUGAGAAGAAGUAUUUUACUAAUUGUAUAGAGUUACAAGUAUUGUUGUAUUUAACUCACAAUCUAAAACCCUAAUACACCCAAACUCUCAAAAUACUCUCUCAAUUGAUGCUUCUUCCACACUACACUUGAUGAUUUCUCCAUGCCUUAAUCCACCUAUUUAUAGUGCAAACCAAGCCUUAAAUGUCUAUUUUGGUUGGCUUUAAAAUAUUAAUUUAUUUUAUUUCAUCAAAAUUGGUGUGCAUUAAAAUAAUAGUUUAUUUAUAAAAAUCAACUUAUUAUUUUGUUUAAUCAAAAUUGGUGGGCUUUAAAAUAAUAAUUUAUUUAUAAAAAUCAAGUUAUUAUUUUAAUAAAAUAAUUUGUUUUGUCAAAAUUGGUUAGUGAUAUUUUAUUGCUAUCAUUUUACUGUAUUUAGACUGCAAUAACAGAUGUUUCUGCUGAAUAUCUCGAACAAUUAGUUUGACUUAACUCCACAUUUUCUUCGCAAAUUUCUUAUUGGUCAAUGUCUGACACGAACUAUAAGAAGCAUGUAACAUAUCUCGUGCCUGAGCCUUAUGAGCUGAAUUGGGUUAUUGGGCCUAAUAUCGAUUUUCAGGUAGUAAUAUCUAUUAACCUCAAACGCAGACCAAAAUGCUAGUGCUUCUGUGACAUUGCCUUUUAACAUAUGUUUGUUUGCUGAUAUUUCAUUGAUGAUACUCCUUUGGGAUUAAUAUAGGAGUAAGCAUGCUGAAAUAGGUGUCUAUUACAUUGAAAUGGAGCAAUUUGAACGGCUAUAUCAUCAACAUUCGCCAAUUUGACAACUCAAUUGGUUUAGAGUCCAUUAAAAAUAAUACUAAACUAUGCGCUUCUUUUUGUUAUUUUUAUUAUCAUCAUCAUCAAUUUUACUUUUGACGCAAAAUUUUCGUUCUCUUUAUUAUUAGUUUGUUUGUCUCGGAGAUAAACAGAAAGACGUGUUAAAACUGCAAAUGGCAUUUUGGAGUUGAACAGACACGAGAUAAAUUCCAAGGUUCAGGCAACGGGGGAUGUACAGAGUCUACAGACAACGAACACGAAAGUGAAAUCGAUAUCAAGCAAAGUUCCAUCAGAUCGAGUAAAAUUGAAGCUAAAAUUCAUGGUUUGUUUAAGAUUUGACCUAAAAGAGAUGACUAUUUAAUUGAUACAACUGGAUAUUGAUAAAGCGUUGAAUGCUAGUUUUCAAAUCUAUGAUUAGUAUUAGGCAGCGGCUACCUUGGAUCAGCUCUAAGGUAGACCACCCACCACAGCCAUUGGAUGCAUGUACUUGAACUUGAAACAAUUGUGACUGGGUGCAUCUAAUGAGUGUGGUGGAUGGUCUACCUUGGAGCUAAUCCAAGGUAGCCAAACCCUUAGUAUUAUUAUAUACUGCUCCUUAUGCUUAUAUAAUCACAUAAGAUGUUGUGUCAAUUCAAAUACCAUUUUUGUAUCUUAAUAUUGUAAGAGUAGCAUUUUAUUUUUUAUCUAAAAUUUAAAUAGGUAUGUUUGAAUAUAUUUGUCUUUCGUUCUUUACAUUUGUUUAUUUUUAAGGGAAAAGUACACUUUCAAUCUUAAGGUUUGGGAAAAUAAUCAUGUAAAUUUUCAAAGUUUCAACAGGAGAUACUCGGACUCCUUGUUAACUACAAUACCUUUUGACUUUAUUAACUAAAAAUAAUAACUAAUAUUUUAUAAUAAAUAGAAAAUAGUAUCAAAAUAAAUGUAAUAAUAUAUACAUUUUAAAAUAAUUUCAAUAUUUACAAAAAUAUUUUAAUACCAUACAAUCUUAUGUUAUUAAACUAAAUUAGGUAGUAAAUAGAAACAUAGUAUUAAAAUAAAUAUAUAAAAGUUUAAGUUAUUUUAAUAUUAUAUAAAAUAAUUUUAAUAAUGUUAAUGCAUGAGAUACAUUUUAUUAAUUAUAAAAUCUAUUUAACAUGAAGAUUGAUUUAAAAUUUUUAUAAAAGUGAGUAUCCUAAUACAUCCAUAUGAUCUAUCUAAAUCUGGAAUGCCCAAGAUUUUUUAUCUUGCAGCCUCCAUAACACAAUAAAAAUAUCAUUUAGCAGAUACAUAUUUUUUAAAAAAGGAAAAAAUAGCAUUAUUCUCUCCUGCAGGCAUCUGCAAUUUAUUAAAUCUCAAAUUAUAUGCAAAAGUUUGCUAAUAUGCAUAUGACUAGAGUUGAUGACUCCAAAGUCUAAAUCAAAACAGACAUGGACAAUAAUGCUCAUCUUAUGAUGAGCAAUAUUGUGCUGUGGCGUUGACUAGUCAGGGUUCGGUUAGAAAAUGUGAUUAACUUCAACACUAGUUACAAAAUUGAGCUAAAGCUCAGUUGCUCGUCAAUAGAGUGACUGAAGUUGCCAACCAGCUAUGAAUACAUAAAUGAGAAAUAUUAAACAGAACAAGCGAUGAAGAGAGGUCUGAGUUGUAUGUCCGGGGGAGUCUGUUCUUUGAACGAAGCAUCAUAUCCAGGCAGAACGCAGUUUUCAUACCCUCCAAAUCUUCUUGGCUUUUCAUAUCAUGCCCCCGUUCUGUUGGUGCGCGCUAACAAAAGAAUAAACAAGUAUCAAUAUAUAGGCUUUAAUUUGAAUUGUAAAUCGGUGUAAAAAUCAAUUAUGAUUUUCAUUGUCUUAUGAUAGUGAAAUUGUAGUAUUACAGUCCUGUUCCAGUAAUAUAUAUAAAGCAGAAAUUACAGAAGAAAAAGAUCUCAAACAUUGUGUAAUUUAUGAUCGCCGUAGUCCUCAGAUUUAUAGCAGGUAUCAUGUUCAUUUGUUUUUGGCUCAAUCUAUUGCGGGCAACUAAAUUAACUAGGAAGCAAAUAUGUAACAUUACCAAAUACAAAUUGGGAAAAAAGAAAAAAGGAACAACUCAAGGACAUCUUAUGCCAGUAGAGUUGGCAACAAUACCAGCGGGGCUCCAAACCCGCGGGGCCCCAAUUAAUUUGGGGCAGGUAUGGGGCCUCGAAAAAAGUCUGAAAAUAAAUUCGGGUCUAUUUGGGUAUGGGUCUAAAAUCCCAAAACUUUUCGGGUUCGGGUUUGGGAAUUUUUCCGGAUCCCCUAACCCAACCCUAAAAUAAAAAAAAAUAAAAAAAUCUAAUAUUUUAAACUUUGAAAUUAGAAAUUGUAAUGCCAUCAAAUCAAUUUUUUUCCCCCAAAAGAAACCCUAACAGUUCGUGAGCUGCCGUUGUCGCUAACAGCCAGUCAGCCGCCACCGUUCGUCGUCACUGACCAACACUCAGCCGCAAGGUUUUUGCCUUUUCUACUUUUCUUUCUUUGUUUAUUUAUUUCGAAUUGCAUCUAGUUUCAUUGAUUUGGGUGUCUCUGUGCAUGUGUUUGUUUGUCAGUAAUGAGUCAUUGAGUUGCAUCUGAUUGUCAUUUUCCUAAUUUUAUGAUUGUCAUCAUAAGCUGCAAUUUGUUUGUCACUAACAUUAGCUUUAUUAGUUUGCUUGUGCUAUCAACUGAAACUUUAAGGGUUUAAUUGGUUUAUAGCUUGAGUAGUCAUGAUUUUUUAGUCUGAUUCUAUUUUGCAUAUUAGGGGUGGGCAAAAAAAGUUGAUUAAUCAAAAACCGAAUCGAACCGUUCGGUUCGAUUCGGUUUUUUUACGGUUUUUUUACACCCAAAAAACCGAAUUAGUAAUAUAGAGAAAAUAGUAAAACCAGUCGGUUCAGUUUUCGAUUUUAAAAAAAAAACCAAAAAACCGAACCGAGUAUCAAAUAAACCGAAUAAUAUAAUCCCUAAACCUAAAGUGAGUAAACUGAUCUUCACUUCAGCCACUGAACUCGUGACCUUCAGCCCCUGAACUCGUCGCUGCUGCUGCUCGUGCUCGUCGCUGCUGCUGCUGCCGCUGCUCAUGCUCGUCGCUGCUGCUGCUGCCGCUGCUCAUGCUCGUCGCUGCUGCUGCCGCUGUCGCUGCUCGCUGCUGCUGCUGCCGCUGUCGCUGCAGCCUGCCGCUGCUGCUCGUCGCCGAGUGAUCUCCACAAAGCUACAACUUGUGAGUUUGCUAUUACUUGGAUUUUAAUGGUUUCACAUGAUGAUGUGCUCAUGCCGAGAGUAAAAACAGUAAAACUUGAAACAGAGUUUAACGUUGUUGGACUUGUGAGUGUUUGCUGUUGGAGUAGAUUUAGAUGAGCCAAGUUGGUUAGCUUCAUAGCUUUUCAAUAAUUUGCUUUGAUUAUUGUGUAAUAUAUGAUAAUUUUGUGACGAUGGUGGUUUAUAUAUGUGAUUAAAAGCUAAACUAGUGGAUUUGUAAGUAUGCACUCGGCAAAGCAUUUGAGCAGGUAUUUUCAUCUUUUCGUUAUCACAUUCCUCUAAUCAAUUAGCGUUAAUAAAAAAAAUGAUUAAUAACGUAAAUGGAGGGACUUGUGCUCAAAUCUCUAAAUUAAACUCGUGAUCAUUAAACAUUAAUAUAAGCAAACUACAAGUAGUCUAUCUUGAUCAACGUUUUCAACUCUUCCAGGACUGUCCCACUUCCAAAAUUUUUUAUUCAAACAAUUAUUGAAAGCUCAUUUUUAUAUAAUAUUUUCACAAGAAAUUUGUUGCUUUCAUAAAUGGGCAACAUUAGACAACAGCAAUGCCAAAAUUAUUGGAAAAAAAGUUUUAGUCACGGCCCUCUGCUAAGUGUCUUUAAAUGGUUGGUUAAUCCCCAAGAUUUUUUAUUUGUUGCUGCUAUUGUGUUGAUUUGUUGCUGCUGUGGUGCUGAUUUUUUUGUGUAGAAUGGAAAAUUAUGAUGAGGAAGAAGUGCAAGAGGUGUAGGUUAAUGAUGGGAAAAAAAGAAAAAUACCUUUGAGAUCAAAUGUUUGAACUUGUUAUUUGAAUAUGUUAUGUGUUAUUGAACAUUGUUUGAGACAUAUUUUGAUUUUUUGUUUGUUAAUUUUUUAUGUUUGUUGUAGAUUUAUUAAUUUAAGGUUUUAAAUUUAAAAAAGUCCAAAAUAGGCCCAAUAGGCCCAUAAUCGAAAUAAUCGAACCGAACCGAAUCAAAUUAUUUCAAUUAAUCGAGUAUUUGAUUAUUUCGGUAAUUUGAUUAAUCGCGAUUAUGAUUUUAAAAUAAUCGUAAUCGAACGAUUAUGAAAAAUUUAGUAAAAAACCGAACCGAACCGAACCGCGCCCACCCCUAUUGCAUAUUGCCCGCUUGCUUUUCUUUUAGCUCUUUUAAAAUUAUUCUUUUAGGUAUGUGUUAAAUUUCCAGGGUUUAAUUGCUUGCUUGCAUAUUGCCCGCUUGCUUUUCUUUUCUUUUGGCAGCUACGUGAGGGAACCAAAAUGAUAGACAGGUGACACAAAACAAUUUAUAGAACCCCUUUUUUUUUUGGAGGUUUGGAACACAGAACAGUAAUCAGUAACAGAUAGACAGUAUAUUUCUUUUUCUUGGGUGCUGCUAAGUUACAUUAACUGUAACUUACAGCUCACCCAAUACUAGUUUUUCACAACCCAUGAAUUAUUUGAAUAGCAACCAUUAGAGGUGUAAAGAAACUAGUUUAACACUUAAGAUUUGGGCUUCCAGAAUCAGAUAAAAGGAUAGUUACAAACAUGCCAAAUUGAGGUACUGACAAACUUGGGUAAUAAUAUUUUUUUGCAAGUCAACAUGUGAAUGUGAUGAUGACUAGACUUGACUGUGUCCAUAGCCAACGGCACAAUUAUAUGUGAAAGUGAAAGCAAAAAGUAGACACAAAAACUGAAAAUGGAUGGCAACCUGCAUCGAAGAGAAUCCCCACUUUAGGGGCUCCUAUUGUAACUAUAUGGUUAUUCCUUCUUUCUGUCCUGCUGCAUGUAUGUGGCUUGUAGUUGAACUGGUUAGAUACGUGUAUGCUUGGUUUCUGUAGGUAUUAUUUGUGUUGUGCUCUGUAUCACGAAUCGUUCCACCGAUAUGCUUACGUACAUGUUGCGUGAGGAGUUUACGUUGUAUAUUAAUUGAGUCUUCUCUUGGCAUUGCAACCUAUAGAAUUGUUAAAUAUGUGUCCAUCCAUUUUAGUUUCUCAAGCUACCCUGAGUGUUGUGGGAACAAUUUGUUCAUUGUUAUCAUUGCUGUGGCUGAUGCCAAAUACUAUCCAUAAUUGAUGUUCACAUGUUGGGUUUCCAGGUGUCGUCGUCAGUGAGAAAAACCGAAAAAAAAUGGUAAUUCUAGUUACAUUGCUUUAUGUCAAGUAGGUCCAUGAUUCAUCACAUUCAAAAAUUAUAGAAAACUAUUAUCAUAUGACAUUAACAAAACACUGGAAAUAUUAGGGUGGUAGUGUCAGGAAGCCAUUUUUCAUUUAUCUGCUUUGGUUUUAAAUCCAGUACAUGGUAAAAUCAGAUUUAAUGUUUUGUAUCUGCCUAAUUCUUAAUUGUUUGCUUCUAGUAAAAUGCUAGUUUUAUAUUCGUUUUUAAAUUUUGCUUCUUGGCUUGAUUGUAGGUUCAACAUUUAAUAUGUCAAGUUCUUUGCCCACACCACACUUAAUGGAUGAUGAAGUCAAUCAAAACAUGUCCAGUUCUGUUUCAAUCUCUUGAUGAGGAGCCAGAGAUUGAAACAAAUGUAGAGGCUGUAGAGGUAUAUAGUUUUAGUUUAUAUUAUCUUGUCAAGUAUUUAUUAAGUUGAAUUGUUAAAACAUGUUUUUAUUAAUUUUUUUUUUUGUUUAUGUUGUUAUAGGUUUAUGAAGAAUCUUAGAAUGUGCAUCAAUGGUGAUGGCUACAAGUUUAUGUUGAAGACUUAAAAUUAUUUUGAUUUGUUGUAUAAAAUUUAAUCAAUUGUAAUUAUGUUGAAGGCUUAAACUUAUUAUGGAGGUUGUAAUUUUAUUUCUAAUCACUUGUAAUUUUAUUAUGGAGGUUGUAAUCACUUCUAAUUUUAUUUCUAAUAUGGAAUUUGAUUAUUUGUAAUUUUAUUUCUAAAUAUGGAGGUUGUUAGAAUUAUUAUUUAAAAAAAAAAGAAAACUGAAAUAUUUAGAAAUUAUUAUUUAAAAAAUGGGGAUCGGGUCCCUGUUUUAAUCCCCGCUCAAUUCGGGGAUUUUCAGGGAUAUACCCAAACAAUCCCCAUUACAAUUUUUCGGGUAUGGGGCGGGUUCAGGUGGGGAUCAUGUGCCAGUCUGUGUAUGAACAAGCAAACUCUUAUAGUGUAGUGCAGAAAAACAUGAGGUGGCAGAUCAACUUAUCAGCGUAUGGAUAUCGAACUAAUGAAAUAUGUACCCCAAGGUUACUCAUUUUCAAAGCUUUGCAAAUUCUAUAUGAGUCCAAUAAUAUCCUAACAGUAACAGGACCAAUAGUGUGCAUAACCCACAAUGGAAAGGGUCCAGGCUAAGAAUAUACUGAGAAAUUUGAAAAUAAUAAUAUGAAUUAACAAAUUAACUAGAUUGAUUAGAAAAUAAUACCUCAAAAAUUGAAGCCAUAAGAGGAGAGGCAUCCGGGAAUGGUGGUGGCAAUUCAGGGAAUGGUGGUGGCUGAUAGUGGACCCAGCAAAAUACCUGCGGGCGAGUCAGUAGAUUUAUAUUUUGGGGUGUGCUUGAUUUUGGUGGCCUUCCAGGAAGUCAUAGUCCUCAUAUAUUUAGAGCAGAUAUCAUGUUCAUCUGGUUCUGGUCCUGGUUCUGGCUUUGGUGCAAGCUGUUGCAGGCAAUUAAUUAACUGGGAAGCAAAUAAAUAUUACCAAUUGAAAAAACAAACAAACUAGAAAAAAAAAAAAACCCACAUCUGUCGUGAAAUAAAUGUACUGUGAAAUUUGAAAAUAAUUAUGAAAUUUGAAUUAACAAAAUAAAUUAGAAAACAAUACCCCGUUUGGAGGGCAAUGUCGAUGAAGUCAAAGCCCUCAGGUAAAUUUUGCAAUGGCCCAAGCUGUUGCAGGCAAUUAAUUAAUGAGGAAGCAAAUAAAUUUAUUUAUAAAAAAAACACUCAAGUAGGGAUGGCAAAAUCCUCCACGGGUUUGGGGCUCCAUGGAGCCCCACCCCAAAUGGGAAAAAUUUUGAAUAAUUUUUGGGGAAUGGGGUGGGGAGUGGGAGAAAAAUAAUCCCCAAAUUCUUAAUGGGGUGGGGUUUGGUUUUGCACUCCCCACCCCACCCCCACCCCAAUCCCCAUUAUAUAUAAAUAUAUUUUUAAUUCUUAUUUAAUAAAUUUUAUUUUAUGAAUUAUAAUGUCAAUUAAUAUUUUUUUAAUUUUUUAUGCAAUAUAAACAGGAUAUGAAUGAAAGAAAACCCUAUAAUAUUUUUCAACUAUGAAACAUUGUUAUAUUUUCUUUUCUCUUUUAAAGUGCUACGCUAUUUAAAUAUUUUUUAUUUUUAAUAUCAUUUUAAAAUAUUGUUUCAAACUUUUAGAUAUUUUUUAAAAAGAAUUUAAAUACUUUAUAAUAUGGUGAUGAUUUUAUUUUAAGUCUCUAAUUUUUAACUUACUUAAAUCAUGUAUUUAUACCUAAUAGAAAAUAGAUAAAUGGGGAAUGGGGUGGGGAUGGGGAAAGCAUUACCCACAUGGGGAUUCCCCAUCCCCACCCCACUAAAUUUAUUGGGGAAUGGGGUGGGGAAUAGAGGCAAAAAUUUCUAACGGGGUGGGGAAUAGGGUAGGCCUCCCCACCCCAACCCCACCCCAUUGCCAUCCCUAGUCGUCCAUGGUUUGGCGUUGGUGUAUUUGACUUGGGAACCGGCGAAUUUAGGUCCUAGGGAUUCCAUAUUUUAUGCAUAUUUUUAUUUUUUUUAACCCCGUACAUUAUUUGUAAUCCCUUUGAACACGAGAAAGUUUGGUUUUAUCACAUUUAGCCCCGUCUCUUGUUGCGUUGUUGGUUUAGUCGAUGGUCACCGCUUACCUGAAAUUUUUGUUAAUUGGUUGUAUUUACAGUUUUUCAAAUCUUUAUACUUUUUUUUUUUUACCAUCUUAUUUCUGGUAAAGUUUAUUCAUCAAUUUUGGGUUAUUUAAGACUAAGAUGACCGAAAAAAAUGAAAUUGAAAGUUAAUAAUUUUUUUUAGGUAACUUUUCAAGAACUUUAAUAAGUUUUCAAACAUGAAAAAAAAAAUUAUUCAUUUAAUUAAAUAAUAGGAGAAAUUUUUUUCAUUUCCCUUGUGUUAUUAUGUAAAACACAAGAAUUUAGGAGCCUCCUGAAACGAAGGAUGUCAAUGAGUUGAUACAGUGCGGGACUGUUAGUAUCCUCACCCGAACCCAUAUAAGAGAAAAACUUUCUUUCACUGUCCCUUAAUGUGGGGCUAAACAGACAUGGGCCAUGCGUGAUUUCGUGGCAGUUUGGGUGUGUCUCCCUCGUUUAAUUGGGUGUCGCAUUUGGGAUUUUAGGAACUCUAAAAAAGUUAGCACUUGUACACAUUUAUGUUUUUUUUUUUUUCCUAAUCCGUGUGUUUUUGGUAAUCCAUUUUGACCUAGAAUGUUUGGUUUUGUGAUGUUCCCCUCUCUCAUCUUUAUUGAGUGCUAAUCUUAUCUUGGAUUCUAGACUUUAUUACUGUUCAAAAAGAUUAUUAUACCAUAUGAUACAAUAAUAUAAUGAUAUUUAACUAUUAUAUGAUAUAAUGUAAUAGUAUUAUGAUUGACAAAAUAGUCUAGGCUGGUCUGGUCUGGUCUGUGUAUUAAAAUAAAGGAUAUAAACUAAAAAUAUAAAGUCUGCAUAGAUUGAGUCUGACUAAGGGCCUAAGAAAAAAAUGUAGGCUAAUUUAUAAAUAAAAAGAUAAAUCAAAUAAAAAAAAAAUAAAGUAUUAGAUUAGUUUUUUUAUAUUAGUAUUUGUCAUUUAUUACGUUGUGUUGUAAAUAUUUUGUAUAUUGAACUAUUAUUUUAUUAAGUAUUGAAUAAUCAUCUUUAAUUUAAUUUUUUUAUUUGGUUGAAAAUUUAUUUCAACAUUAAUGAAAAACCCAAUUUAGACAGACUUUUAAAGAAUUUAGACUUGUUAAUAAUAAUAUGAUUUUAGGAGUGUGCUUGAAAAAAACUUAUUCCAAGCCUGCAAUUUGCCAACUCUAAAAUAGUAUUUUCGAAAUUUUACAAAGUCAAAGUUAGAUAAUUUCUACUCUUUAUUACGUGGUCAUCGUACAAUUUAUUACUUAAAAAUGGUGGAGCCAAUAUUUCACAAAAAAAUUGUUUCUGAUGGCUGUAAGCGUACAAAACGUUUUCACCUUUUUUUUAAUCAAUAUUAUUUUUAGAUUUACACGAUGCAGUAAACAAUGCAUUAGUCCUCUUAAGUCUUUUCUAAUAUCAUUAAAGUUUUUUAUUAUAUAUCUACAAUGACUGUGUUGCACUAAUCUCUUUACCAAAUAAAGAAUCUGGUGCAUAUCAUGCUAUAAUCCAUGUAAAUUAUCUGAGGCCUCCCCAGUAGUAAUGGGCAAAUCGAAGUCUAAAUUUGGCUCCACAGUAUAAUAUUUUGUUUUUCUCAAAAGAAAAUUGCAGCAAUGAUAAUUGUUCUGUACUUCAGAAACAGUGGUUUAAAUUAUAUAUUUGUAAUGGAUGGAACCAAAACUCAAGCAAAUCUAUAAUAUCGGCAAUUCAAACACAUUCUGAUUUGCCCAGAUGCCUGAUUUAAGGUUGGGAACGAUACGUAUCCCUAGAGUAAUAUUCAAUUUUGAAUUUUAGAUUCAAAUGAAAACACUCCAAUUCUUAGUUCAUAAUAAGAGAUUUUUAAAUUUCAAAAACUCUUAUCAUGAACUGGGGCCUGUGUUGAUAUAGGAAUCAAUGAUACCCCCUCGAAGGGGGCUAGAGUCUCUAAAAGAGGACAUCAUAUCUCUCGAAGGCAGGGAUGAAUACUAUUAGGUGGGAAGUCUGAAAACCUUGAGGUAGGAAAUAAGGAAAGCUCAAUUUAAACAUUGAAUGAGUCAAAAGCACCAAGUUGAGGAUGCUAGAAUAUCUAACGAUUAUCACCAGCAAAGAAUCACAGAAGCAUUGCAAAAAUAGGCAAGGAAGUUUGCUACGAAACCACUACACCCGUAACACCUUAGAAAAUAGGUUAAUAACACCCUCUGCGAAAAUCAUGCCUCAUUUUCUUCUCCAUAAAGGUAUUUUUAAGGAAAAAUGAAAAAGAAAAUAUGUGGACACUCUACUGAACUAGAACUAUUGAUAUUCAACUUCGAAGGGAAAGAUACUGACUUAAUCAUCAGAGGAGGCACAGUGGCACACCAAAAACCACCAUUUCCAGCCCCAUUUUAUUCCACCCACCAAUACAAUACGAAUACAAUAGUGAAGGAGGUACUAACAGACUUGGCAAAAAUUUUAUUCCACCCACCAAUACAAUACCAAUCCACACGAUAAAUAUAGUUGUUAUUGGGCAACCCAUUAAGAGUUAGAUUUAGGUCAAAGUAUUAAAACCAUUUCACACAAUCCAUUACACUUAAUAUUAACAGUUUAAUAAAUUUAAUAGCUUAAAUUAAGUAAAUUGACUUUAAAUUUAAUAAUUGUAUAAAGUUAUCACAAAUGAUUCAUUUGGAUAAAAACAUUUUGUUUUCGGGAAAACCAGCAGUAUACUUAAGAUCUCAUAAAAGUAGUCUUAAUUACUAUAUCUAUAUAUAUAUAGUAAAUCAUAACUUACACCAUGAACUUUCGCACGUUCAGAUGGUUCUUUAACACUGGAUAUUCUCUAACUUUAUCAAAUACUUCAUAUUUUAGUGUGCCACCUUCUUGGUCCACGUUUGAGUAGAACGUUACUUGGAGUUAAAUUUCCAUGAAAAUAACUGCACUCAUGAAGAAAAGCAACGCCUUUGAUUAUAUCCCUACGCAGAACAUUCAAAUUUAGUGCAUGUCAAGAUAUAUUCUUGGGGCAAAAAAAAAAAAAAUGGCAAAACAAGUAUACUUACAAGGCUAUAUCCGUACACACAACUCAAUUAAAUCCCCCAUUACACUUUUAUUACACAAAAACUAAAAAUAGCUUAUGUUAGAGGAAUUUCAUCAAACACCUAAUAUCCGAUAUUUAUAACUCAUCAUUUUAACUAAAUUUUUUUUUCAUUAUACCACUCCAACAACCUAUAAUCAUCUAGAAUCCCAAUCAAAUGCACUCAAAUUAUUAUAAAAUGUUGAAGUUUGCUCACCUAGGGUUUGAACUCUUUUCAAUUUCUUGGAUUCUUUAUUUUUAGUUCAUCGUCGCCGUGUUCAUCAUUGUUGCUAUCAUCGUUGCCGUCGCUGGUUGCCGGUUGCUGUUCGUCGUUCAAGAGCACAAAUUUGUAGUGUGGCUAGAGAGAGUUUAGAGUAUGGGAAUGUGAAGGGUAAUUUAAGGCAAUUUUUUUAUUUAGUUAUAAUAGAAAGAAAUUAGAUGAGUUAAAUUAAAAAAUUAAAAAAAUUUUAAGAUUAUUUUUGUAAAUUUCUCCUCUUAGCUCUCUUAUGUCACCUUCCGAAAAAUUAUAGAAUACAUUUGUUGUACUAUAUCACCCAUAUAACAAACAAAUAAUAUCAUAACAUGUGUGUAUUUAUUUUAUAAACUAUUAUUUAAGUAGUGGUUGUAUUAAACUCAAUUACACAUGUCAUACAUACAUUAAUUGGUUGUAAUACAACAUAUGUAUUUUAGGAUUAUUCGUGACCUUCCCCGUAAUUGUACUAUUCCAAUAAUAAAUGCCUAAAGAGUGCUUUUACAUAAAAGCCCUCUAUUUCAAACUAAUCACCUGUUCGAACUUUGAAUCGCCAAGCUAAUGCCUCCGUGGCCACCUGAAAAGCAUAACAUUUCCUGCUUUUGCGUCCAAAUACAUGCUAGUUUUCAACUUUCAAGUCCAUGUACAUUCGUCAAUAAUUCCACUACAGUCCGAGCUGUCUCAUUGCCAUGAAUAAACAGAGGCCAAUGAAUCGUUUUUUGUCUAAAUCCAAUCUCGCUCUUCAUUUAUCUUAGCUUAAAACUAAUCAUGUACACGUCAUACCUUUGCCAAUGACAUUUUAGCCAUUUAACAGCCAACUGUACACCUUAGCUUAUUAUACAGUCACAUUAAUUGUCUAAUUAUGCACUGCAAGACAACCUAAUCAAAUACCAACCUCUAGCCGGAAAACACACGGUACAGAUGUCGCCGGCUCCUGGAUUACAAGCACCGCUGCUACCGAACAGCAAGACGGAGAAGCGGCCAUGGGUAUCUGGUGCCGUAUUCAAUGUUGCAACUAGUAUUAUUGGAGCUGGGAUUAUGUCAAUUGCGGCCACCGUUAAAGUCCUGGGCGUAAUACCAGCUUUUGUGCUGAUUGUGAUCAUUGCCUGGCUAACUGACGUCUCCGUGGAAAUUCUGAUGAGAUAUACACAUGCCGGUGAGACGUCAACGUAUGCUGGUGUCAUGAGAGAGUCAUUUGGACGUGCAGGAUCAGUUGCAGCUCAACUCUGUGUCAUGAUCACUAACCUUGGAUGCUUGAUCAUAUUUUUUAUUAUUAUUGGUAAGUCUUCGAUUCUUUGUUUUGAAGGUGGAGGAUGGAUGAUUGAUAAAUGGCAGAUCUUGGUUAAUUCUUUUGGUUGAUGAUCAGGUGAUGUUCAGUGUUGCAAGUAGCCCGAAGGAUCAGUUCAUUUGGGUGUUUUACAAGAAUGGUGCGGCUUUCAUUGGUGGAAUACGCGAGUUAUCGCUCUGCUAUUCGUUAUGGUGUUUGUGAUGCUUCCAUUAGCCUUAUUCGGGCUUGUUGGUUAGUACCUUUGAUGAAAUGAAGCCUUCAAAAUGAUGCUAUAUUUGAUAAUUCUGCCUUGAAUGUUUGAACUUCUUGGUGACUUUGUUGCAUUUGCCUUAUUUCCAGACUCAUUGCGUUUUCAGUUCUGCAAUUUCUGUGCUACUGGCUGUGAUGUUUGUUGCUAUAUGCUCAGUCAUGGCAAUAUAUGCAGUCGGGGAGGGCAAAUCGAAAUCCCCAAAACUACUACCACAGUUGGACAACCAUGUGUCACUUUUUGAUCUUUUCCCUGCUGUCCCAGUUAUUGUUACAGCUUUCACUUUUUAUUUUAAUGGUGAGAACAUUUCGUACAAGUUACUCAGAAUUUCAUCAUUCUGUUGUGUAUUCUAAAAUUGGCGGCGUGUCUUUUUUUUUUUUUUUUUCUACAAUUCAUCCGAUAGGUUGUGAGCUUGACAAGCCUUCUGACAUGAUCACAGCAGUAAGAAUUUCAUUAGUACUAUGUACCGCCAUCUACUUUUCCGUAGGCCUGUUUGGGUACGUUCUGUUUGGGGAGUCAAUCAUGUCUGACAUCCUUGUAAAUUUCGAUCAAAGUUCUGGUUCAGCAAUUAGUUCAUUACCUCAAUGAACUUGUUUGGUUAAGCUAUGCACUUCACCUCAUGCUUGUGUUCCCUAUGUUGAACUUUUCUCCGAGGGCUAACAUCGAUGAGCUGCUUUUCUCCCAGAAACCUCUUCUGGCAAAAGACACCAAAAGAUUUUUGUCCAUCACCCUUGUCACAAGGCCCUUGUGCUUCUAGUAUUCUCUUACACAGCAGCCAUAAUGAUCCCGGACAUAUGGUACUUCUUUCAGUUCCUAGGAUCGACUUCUGCUGUCUGUCUCGCUUUCAUUUUCC
This 82232-nucleotide long non-coding RNA is filed under the name Citrus maxima (pomelo). Its description in RNAcentral is "long non-coding RNA (CMAX_LNC002965)". The record is from RNAcentral. Lineage: Eukaryota; Viridiplantae; Streptophyta; Magnoliopsida; Sapindales; Rutaceae.